This 52429-nucleotide long non-coding RNA is filed under the name Prunus persica (peach). RNAcentral describes it as "long non-coding RNA (PPER_LNC008289)". The record is from RNAcentral. Lineage: Eukaryota; Viridiplantae; Streptophyta; Magnoliopsida; Rosales; Rosaceae.
AAAGAGCCAGGCAUUCCUGCAAUGAAACAUGGCCCAAGCUUCUUUUCAGGUUCUUCAUCAAGUUUCUUAUAGAAGCCUGGCAAUGACCUGAACACCGUGUUGAAAUCGUUUCGGGGAAGAUCAUUCAAGAAGGCUUGGAGUGAUGGAGGUGGGCGGUUGAGCUUUUGGAAAGUGUUGCGGAUGUUGUCUAUGAUAUCUGAUACCACCAAAAGGGUGUUGGGUCCUGAAGAGCAUCCCAAGUCCGCUACUUUCAAACACUCUGGGAACAGAGUGCAACACAGCUCCUCUAUGCUUGCAUCAACUAUAGGCUUCACCGUUGAAAUCACUGCUCUCUGAAAGUUAUAAAAAUAAAAAUAAAAAGGGUUUAAGAAAGCAUGAAUAUUGCGUAGUUUUGGUUAGCAAAAUAGUUUGAGAACAAGCCAUGCUCUUUAAGUGUGCUUGAUAUAAAAUCAACGCAACUAGGGGAAGAGAGAGAGAGACUAACUUGAAGUAGGGAAUUGUUUGCAUAGCUUGUUUUCCCAACUCCUCCAUUCAUGUGUAGAACUUGCUCUACCUCCAUUUUUAUGUUCUCAAAUAAUACUCCUUCCUGUCUCUCUCACUCUCUUUCUCUUGGUAUCUAUUCUGCUGGAAGACUCCCUCAUAUUUAUAGCAAAAUGCUUACCCAACACAACUAACCUUACUUUUUUACUUGGAAAGUAUGUGGUUAUCAAAAUUCCAAUUCACAACUAAUACCUCUUAAUUACUAACUUGCACCAACAACUUUUAACGUUUUGAGGUGCAUGAUCUAACACAGCUUACGUGAGAUUAAGUACGUCAUAAGCUAGAAAUAUGAUUUAAUUGACCAAGUGUACAAACAACCUAAUCAACUUUUGAGGCGACAAAGUAAGUAGUGCGGCUUAUUACGUAGGGCCCCACAAGUCACCAACGUUAAUUAUAUUUCAGACUAUGGUCUUAAGUAUUAGAUUCCUAUGUAACUAACACAUCUUUGGCAGCAUUAGGUGUCUAACAGUGUACACUACUUUUCCUGAAUUAAAAGUUUGAUGGAAGUGCUGGUCUCUCCUUUCCUAUUAAGGGCGAAGAGAUUUCAACAUUGUAUAACGGGACUAUGAAAAUAAUUGUACAAUACGUGUCCAUCGUGUAAAACUCGUGGACGGUGGAGAGCGAGGGCCAUCUUUUGGAGCUUAAUGACGUGGUUCAUCCAUGACCAAUGAAUCAUGCAGCAGAGCCGAAAGGGCCAAUAAUGUGAGAUCGAAUGGUCUUGUUCAAAAAGAAUUUCCUUUCCAUGGGGAAUUCUCAAUUUCUCAUGCCCAGUGUUAAGAAACUAAAAUGAGGCCUAUUCUUUUUUGUCUUAUUUUAAAAUGAGGCCUAUUCUCAAUUUGUCAAAUGUAUUAUUAUUAUUAUUAUUAUUUGUAAAGGACCCACUAAGGUAGUUGUUUGGAGUAUUUACUCCCUCAUGCAAGGUCCUGGUCGAUCUUUUCCUAGUAUUGACUAAUCAAGGCGCAAUUCUGAAGAUUAUUAAUAUAACGAUAUGCAAAUUAUCAAAAUCAGUCUUGAAAAGGAGGCAUGAAAUAUAUAUAUCUCGGAAUUCAUCGUUUCUGAUUCUUACCUUUGCACACUCUGACAACUAUAUAUAUUUUUAUUUUAAAACACUUGGAGAGCCUAAUAUUGGAGAAAAAAAGUCACCAGUUGGUUCUUACUGUGUUACAAAUUUCCCAUUUAGAAGUACAUCAAGAUGUUUUUCUAAAGUAUUGGACUUGAAGGGUAUUUCGUUGAAGUGUAAAGUUUAUUAGAGUAUAAGAUUCCUCAAAUUGUGACAAGUUUCAUAAUCUGAGAGAGUUAGUUAAGUCAUUAUGUUAAAGAUUAGUUAGCUAACUAACUCUGUAAUAACUCUGAUAAGUGUCAUACACAAGAUUUUGGUUAAUUUGUUUUUCUAAAUUUUGGGGGCUUACCCAAAUUAUCUAGGAAGGUCACCAUCAUAUAUUAGGGUGUUCAAGUUGUGGAACCCUAGCAAAUCAAAACCAUCAACAAAUAAGUAAGCUUUCAAAUCAACCUUAUAAUAAGUGGUGCAAAGUUGAGAAGAACAUAUUCUUCUCGAUGGGCAAUUUCUCAUUCCUUUUACAUAUAUGCUGCAAGGCAAUUUCUUUUUCCUUCGUUUCCUUAUCGCAUUUUAAGACAAACUUUGGUUCACGUGGCCAUGAAAUUUUUUCUAUGUUCCGGGUCAACUUAUUUCCACGUCCCAUAGCUAGUUGGUGGUGCAAAGUUGAGAAGAACAUAUCAUAAUGUGAAAGCAUGUGUGGCCGUAAGACGUAACAUGUGAAUAAACUAUAUUCUUAUAUCAUGAUUGAAUUAAUUAGAAAAUCCAACAAACACGAUCUAGUAACCAAUGAUUCGACUUAAAAAACUGAAUGGAAAUAAGGUGUGUAUUACGUAUAUCAUAAACUAAAAAAAUAUGAUAUAAUUAUCCAAGUGCACAAACAACCUAAGUUUGACGGAUUAAGAUUUCUCUAACUAAAGCAUCUUUGGCAUCAUUAGUUGUCGUGUACAUUAAUUAAGCUUAACAUGGACAUUAGAUAUUGAUGCUCCUGGUCGAUCUUUUUCAAGUAUUGUUGACUAAUCAAGGCGCAAUUUUGAAGAUUAUUAAUAUAACGAUAUGCAAAUUAUCAAAAUCGGCCUUGAAAAGGAGGCAUGAAGUAUUGUUGAUUAAUAAUUGGUGAAUGAUUAUAGCUUAGAACUAGUUCGCGACUCUCGCCUAAAUAAAUUUAGAGUGAUGCUAUUACAACCCCAUUUUCCUAUUUUAAGAAGCCGUUGAUGCAUCUAGGCAAAGAGCAGAAGUCUAUCUAGGCAAAGAGCAGAAGUCUUACUCUACACUCCUUAUGCAAGCCUAUGUAGGGUAAGGUUUUUGUGCUUGUAAUGUGUGCAAAAGUCUUGCUCAUCCAUAUGUAUAGGUGACAGUAUUUGGGUCCAUAUGACCCUUUUGAUCCAAUAUGGUAGGGUUUUUUGUGCUUGUAAUGUGUGCAAAAGUCUUACUCUACACUUCUUAUGCAAGCCUAUUUAGGGUAGGGUUUUUUGCGCUUGUAAUGUGUGUAUAAGAGAGGAGAGCUAAGCUUUAUAUGCAUAGGUGACAGUAUUAGGGUCAGGGACGGACCCUCGUUGUGUACAAACUGGGCUAUAUCCCAGUCAAGUAUUUUUCUUUUGUUAUUGUUAGUAUAAAACACAUAGACUAAAUAAGUUGCAAUAUGUGUUGUGAGUUGUCAACUAAUGUUAAUUUUAAGCAUAUAUAAUCAAUUGUUGCUGACAUUGUUGGUGUAAAAUUGGACUUUUAAAUAAAUAAAAUAAAAAUGAUAUGUCCUUAAAUUAAAUUUGUAUAAUAUUAUGAUUAAUUUCAUAAGUCUUCCUAUAAAGUUUUGCCGGAUCUAAAAUUUAGCCCACCCUAUUUCGAAAUCCUAAGUCCGUCCCUGAUUAGGGUCCAUAUGACUCUUUUGACCCAAUAUGGUUUCCACUUGCAUUUUAGGCUUUUUUUUGCUUAUUGUUUCCACCUUGGGCAAACCGAAUAAAGUAAAGUCUGAAAGCGCCAAGGUGGAUGAGGAGGAGAGCUUCAACUUUAAAUCCAACAACUUCAACUUCUAAAACAGAACAAAAAGAGAUCAUCGCACUGCAUCAAUUACUGUUUUCCCUAAUAUAAGCUUGAGUGCUUCUUCACCAUGCUCAUCAAUUCGUAUCUACCAAAACAACAAAGGAGGGCUUGAGAAACACUCAAAAAAUCUUAUUUUCCCGAGCAAAUUUUGAUUUGAUUUGUGACUUUUUGUUUCUCCCUAUUUCUAACCAAUAAUUUGCGUUCGUGAAUAUGAAAAUAUUUUGCACUUUUAAAAAUCCCGUAUUUGUUUUCUCAUACCUUCAAUAUUACGGUAAGGGAAUAAAACUAUCUCAAGUUUAAGGAUAAACACACUUAGUCACUUAAGCGACAAAUCUUUUAUUUACAAAUAAUAUUUUAAAAAACCUUGUUGGCCUUUUUUUUUUUUUUUUUUCCAAGUGUAGGUGUUUUGUUGAUGUCUAGUUGUUGUGUCUAGUUGUUGAUGGCUAGUGUGGAUGCAGAUUUCGUCCAAAAAAAAUAGUGUGGAUGCAGAUAGAACAGUCUGUUUUAAAGUCUCAAUAUCACAAUCACACCUUUAACAAUAGAGGAACUUUUUUCUUUGGUCAAUUAAAUAAUAGAGAAACUUUAAGUCCCACUCAACAGAGGAUCACAAAUGUACGGACGUGACCCCACGAAGGAUGUUCAUAAACGCGAAAAUAUAUUAUGGGGCGUGAGAAACAAAAUCCAGUUAGUUGAAAAAAUUGUGGAAGAUGUUGCGCCAGGUGUUGCGCGUUGAUGUGACACCUCUUUUUUUAUUUAUUUAUGUAUUUAUUUCAACAUCAACCCAAAUUGAUGAUCCAAAUUAAAUUCAAGCUAUUUUAAUAAUAAAAAAAAUAUUAAACAAUUGAUAUUUAAAUUUAACGGUUAAAAUAAUAUUUUAAAUUAAUUUAAAUCAUAUCCAAAUUCACUCUAAACUCUAUAAAUACUCACUUAUUUCUCAAAUAAAAUUAUAUUUAUGGAAUUUUAAUUUUUUUUAGUCAAAUUGUUUAAAAAAAUUAAAUUAUGAAGUUAUUUAAAAAGAUUAAAUGAAGAAAAAUUAUCCAUGGAAAAAAAAAUAUUAGACUUAAACUAUUCUUAAACAAUUUAAUAAAGUUGCGGACUAAAAAUUUGAUUAUGAAGGGUUGAGGGAAAAAACGGUUUUGAUAUGGGCAAAACCCAAAUAGUUACUUUUUGAAAUGGGAAAAUUUGGGUUUAGUACCAAAUGAGUUGGAGAAUGCCUAAGAGAAUUAAUUAAGAUGGUUUUCACACCAACUGCUUGAAGCUUCAAGGAGGUUUCUUCUUAAUGUUCACCAUGUGACAAGUAUUCUGUUGACUAGAGCUCCAUUAUACCGUCUCCUAAGACCACUGUUCGUAACUCAAUACUUUUUUCAUUAGACUAGAUUCCAUUAGCAAAAAAUUUAUUAUAUUCUACAUUAAUGUUGUUUAAAAAAGUGGUACAAAUCACCUUUUUACCCAAACUAGUGUGUCUUUUUUGUUGUUGUUGUCUCAGUUAAAUAUACUUGAAUACUUUUCGAUUUGAGUGGAUUGUAUUUUCUAGCGAUAAUCUUCCCGUGAUGACCAGGGACGGAUCCAGGAUUUCAAAAUGACGUGGGCUAAAUUUACCUUACAUACAAACCUAUUGAAAAAACUCAACGGUACAAGUAAAUUUCAUUGAUAACAAAAAAAUACACGAGAGACAUAAUGAGUCUUACCCUUCAAAUAACACUUAUAUAAGUUGCGCUAUUCAAGUCUUCACAACAUUAAAAUCACAAUUAUUGAUUCAUUAUUUAUAUUAUCAGCAAAUUCUCUUUCAAUAUGAAGUAGGAUACAAUUAGCAAGAAACUCAUCACCUAUCUUAUUCCAAAGUCGAUUUUUAAUAAGUCUCAUACAUGAAAAUGCUCAUUCUGUUGUUGUUGUAGACACAAGAAGAGUUAGAACCAAAUGAAUCAAUCUAUCAAUCAAGUAGUAUGUUUCUGCUAAUUUUGUUCUUUUUAUUUAUUUGUUCAACCUAGUCCUAAUAGGAUUAGUUAAUAAUAUUUUAUUUAGGUGGUUAGCCAAGUCUUAAUGGGAUUAAUUAAUAAUAUUUUAUUUAGAUGACUUAGGCUAGAAUAUUAAUUUAGUCUAUAAAAAAAACAAGCUGCCUGGACUUUAGCCCAAGUUAGCAUGUUAGUAGGUACGUGCCUGGUGAUGACUUAAGAAAAUGAACUAUUCGGAUAAUGGGAAGUAUUACGGAGUGGAUACAAAAAAGUAAUUUUUGUAUUAGCUUAUUAACUAGUUAGCACUAAAAAGCUAUUGAUUGUAGUAAACAUAUUUCCGACAUGUAGUCUAGAUAACAGCCAUAAAUGUGGUUUAAUGUUAGUUACUAGCUAGCUACUUACUAUUAUCUAUCUAGCUAAUAUCUAAUCAUCUAUAUUACACAUUACAUCUAAAACCAUGUCAUUGAGUUUCAAUCCGACCAAUUCCAUAAUGUAGAGGGGAUCAUGGCUCUGUAUGCUUGUUUUCCUAGGUGCUUACCAGAAGUGUGUGCCAGAUUAAUUCAUUCACACACAAACACUAGGUGCAACAAGUAUCUGCUUGUUUUUCUUUUGUUUCCCUGUCGCUUUUUCAGACAAACUUUGGUUCACGUGGCGAUGAAAAAGCUUGAGGCUGAGGAUUCAAAGUACAAAAACAACCGAACCUUAAUUCAGUUAGGAUUUUUCUAUCAUCUGGGUGGCUAAGAUUGUGCAAUAGUCAUCUGUUUAAUAAGACAAUUUUACUAUUAUUUAUCACCCCUUGGCCCCUCUGCUUUUGUCUUCGAUCUCCCUCAACUUCUUUCAUUAUCUGAUAGCUAUUUAAUAAAAUCUUAAUCUCCUGCCAUCCAGGUUUAGUUCAUUGAAAAAUAGUAUUCAUUUGUAGAUUAGAGUUUUUAAGUUCGAAACCCCAUGACAUCUCCCAUCUCUAAUUAUGUGUGUGAAUGAAGUAUCGCUUGGAUACUAAAAAAUAAUUCCUAAUCUCCUUUUUCAACUCACCAACCCUCUAUUUUAUAUGUAUAUUAAAGAGAAGUAGUUGCAUCUCGGCAAGAGCAAAAGUUUUAAUGUACACUCCUUAUGCAAGCCUAUAUGGAAGAGGAGACCUAAGCCGAUAACGAAACAAUUCUUAGAAAAGAAAAAAACAACAAACCCUUAUUUGGUAUUGAUGUAUAUUGUGGAUGCAGAUGGAGCAGUCUAUUUCUCUGAGGGGUCGUUUGGUACGGCGGACUGUCAUGGACUGGACUAAAUUCUGUGACUAUUUUGGAUUAGCUCGGAUUGGCCUAAGCUGGAUUGAGUACUGACCUACGUUUGUGCUGCGUCGGACUAAGAAGCUGCAUUGUAAAAAUAGUAAAGACCUAUGUUUGGUGUUGUGACAGACUAAAAUAUAAUUAUUUUAAUAAUCAAUUUUAAUUAAAAAUAAAUAAAAUUCUAAUAUUUAAUUUUAAUUAAAGAUUGCUAAAACUAUCUUAUCUCAUCUUUUUUUUUUUCUUUUUUUCUUUCUUCCUAUUUUCUUCUUCCUUCCCAAGUUCCUAGGCCAUCCCCUUUUUUUUAUUUUUUCCUUUCUUCCUCUCUUCUUCUUCCUUCCUUCUUAAUCAACUGUCUAGAUUGAAAGCUGUAACCUUUACUGAGAGACAGAGUGGUCAAGGGUUUUAGGUGAGAAAAAGCGCAGAGAGACAGAGAGACAGAGACAGAGGCUGAAAAUUCAAUACCAACUAUUUAUUCCAUAAGUUCAACUUGAUGUUUUCUAUGUCAUUUCCCGGAAGAAUCCUUUAAUGGGUAUCAAUUAGUUUUUAGAAUUUUUUUCAAACCAAUUCAUGACUUCCUUCUCUCAGUCUCAUACAAGAAAGCCCACAUCUCCGUUAAUAGUGUCCCCUUUUGCAGUUGUCCUGAUCAUGGUGGAUGAUUUCUUGGAUCAAUUGGGUUUGAAAGUGGUUUUUUGAAUUUGGGUUCAAAUGGGUUGUGGUCCCAUUGGGUUUGAAUUGGUAGGGGUUGAUUCGAGUGACUGGGUUUGAAUUGGUGGUGGUUGGUUCGAAGGACUGGGUUUGACGAUGGUCUGUGGUGAUUCUGGUGGUUGGGUUGGGUCUAUGGUGGUUACAAUUCUAGGUGAAGAAGAAGAAGCUGGUUAUUGUCGGACUCGCGUUCUCUGUUUAUUGAAAUCGCUAUUUUGCGAACCGUGUUUGAGGCUCACUAAAUUGGAAGAGCGAGUGAGGCUUUUUGUUUACUGUUGUACUAUACAAUCCCAUUUAAUUUAGUUCCCCUCUUACCAAACAUGAUUUUCAGGGGCCGUUUGGUACACCGGAUUAUUAUAGAUUGGACUAAAUCCUUGGACUGUCUUGGAUUAGCUCGAAUUGGCUUAAGCUGGAUUAAGUACUGACCUACCUUUGGUGCUGUGUCAGACUAAGAAGCUGGAUUGUAAAAAUAGUGAAGACCUAUGUUUGGUGAUGUAUUGGAUUAAAACAAUUAUUUAAAUAUUUAAAAUUCAUUAGGGAUUUUGACCUAAAACUAAGUAAAUGCUACAAAGAAACCAACGAAAAAUGUAUAAUUUAUUAAAUAAAAAAAUUAUAAUUUUUUUAAAAGCUAAAACUAUCUUUAUCUCAUGUCUUUCUUCUUUUUUUCUACUUUUUCUUUUGAGUGCUGCUAAACGAACCCUAAAAUUAACUGAGUAGACCCUACUACCAAACUAUUUAUUGAAUUACUAAUUUAUCAUAAUAUAAAAUGACCAAAAAGGAUCUAUUGAAUUGUGAAACAAAUAAAACUUUAAUAAGUACACCUUACUCACUAUAUUCAACCCUUAUCAGACAUAAAAAAAAGUCUUCAUAUUGCUUGGUGCUCACGAAUAACGCAACUAGGGAAAAGAACAGUCCACGCAUGAGCAAGUAUUAAACUCUAACGGAACCCGGGGUUAGUAAAGAUAGUUUACCUCCCCUGCCCACGAAUAUCGUUCUUGAUGCUAAAAUCUCCCUCUAUAGGUGUCGAGGGCCUUUACGGCUUCUUCAUUCCUAGCCGAGUUCUGAACUGAUGUGUAGCAUCGGGGCCGCGGGAUCAAGCUUCGGGCUAGCUUAGAUACCUGUCCGAUCUAUCAGGGGGUUACUUAAGUGGGCCAACAGGUGGCCUAUAUGAUCGUUACCGCCUCUUAAGGAGCUUGCUAUCGUAACCCUUUCUCCCGGUGUAUGUGAAAAAGAGUGACGAACCCAUUUUUUUUUUCGGAGGCUAUUUCACCAUUGGGACUAAUAAUAGUACCCCCCGCAACGAGUACUAGUUUAGGAUUGGUAUUAUGAAAUUAAAGAUUUUGAUGAAACCCAAAAUCUGAAAAGAGAGCACAGAUUCAUGUAAAAAGAGAAACUUUGUUUAGGAUUGGUAUUAGAGUAUUGUACUAGGGCUAUUUUUGGUAGCUAAAUAGGGUGUACUUAAUUAAUUUUACAUUUUAAUUAAAAUAUUAGGGUUAACUUAGAUUAUAGGGUGUACUUAGUUAAUUUUAGGGUUCGUUUAGCAGCACUCUGUCUUUUGUCUUCCUUUUUCUCCCUUUUUCUUUUUCUUCUUCCUUCCCAGGCCCACUUUCUUUUUUUCUUUUUUCUCUCUUCCUCCCGAUCUCACUCUAUGGUUCUCUCUUUUUUUCUCCAAUAUUGAUACAAUGAUAUCCUUCUCCUUCUCUCUCCUUUUCUAUCUCUCCCUCCCAACCUUUCUCUGCCUCCUCAUCAUUUUCUCUCUCUUAUUCCCCUGUGAAGUCACCGAUUUUCAUCUCCUUUCAAGUCACAAAUCUCCAUCUGAUUUCAUUGAGCCAUGGUUGAUGGUUGAUGAUUUUUCAUAGGGUUCAAUUGGGUUUGACAGUGGUGGUUGAAUUUGGUUUUGGUUCCACUGGAUUUGAAUUGGUGGUGGUUGAUUUGAGUGGGUGGGUUUGAAUUGGUGGCGGUUGAUUCAAGUGGCUGGGCUUGAAUUGGUGGUGGAUGGUUUGAGUGACUGGGUUUGACGACUGUCUGUGGUGAUUCUGGUGGUUCGACUGGGGAUAUGGUGGUGACAAUUCUAGGUGAAGAAGAAGAAGAAGUUGGUUAUCGUUGGACUCGCUUGCUCUGUUUAGCAAGCUCGCUAUUUUGCGAACCAUUUUUCAAGCUCGUUAUAUUGAACCAAUGAGCGAGGCAAAUUUUUUACUGUUAGACUAUUUAAUCUCAUUUAGGUUAGUCCUCCUCUUACCAAACAUGGGUUUUCAAGUGCUAUUUAACCCAAUUCAAUAUAGUGAGGGGUACCAAACAUGCCCUCAAAGUGUUAUUUAACACUGUCCAGGGCAGUCCAGCCUACCAAACAUGCCCGACGUCUCAAUAAUUUCUCGUUCAUGUGUACGGAUCAUAAACGCGAAAAUAUAUUAUGGGGUAUGAGAAACAAAAAUCCAAUUACAUGAAAAUAUCAAUGACCAACAAGCUUAAACCAUAAAAAUUCACUUUCAAUUUCGCAUACAAUAACUAGAUUGGAGUUUUGGGUUCAAGCAUCAAAUUAUGUGGUGGAUUUUUUUUUUUUAAUUUAAAAAAAAAAUCUUGUUAAACUUGAACUGGAGUUUCUAAAUCUUCUUUGUGUGCUUCUAAUCAACAAAAAACAUCUAAUUAACAAUCUUGAACAUGAACUUCUUUUUUCAAGGGUCUUAAUUUGAGUUUGGAUAGCUAGUUAGGGUUUUGGGUUUUCUACGAAUCGAAAACUGAAGCUAAAUUGAUAAUUUUUCGAAGAAACUUCGCUUCCAUUUCCUUUAACGCAUUUCAAAUCAAAGUAUGAAUAACACAAAGAUGACCAAAUGUCAACAACUUUAUUCUUAACAAUAAACUGAAGUCCAAGAGACCUGAAAGGUACAAACGUUACAUAAACAAAGCAUAUGGAACAUAAGCCCCAUUUCUUGAAUAUUCAUCUCAACGCUUCUUUGUCAACGAGAUAACCAGGUUAAUGAACUGGCAGUUUUCCCUUUCCAUGUGAUCAAGAACAUCUGCUUCAAACCUACGAAACAAAUCGUCCAUGGGUGCUUCUCCGAAUUGGCACGCCAGAAUCGGCUCUCCCACAGCCCUUAUGUCAGUGGCAAAUAUUGCAGCCCUUGUCUUCUUAUCAAGGCCACUGUUAGCUUGCUUGACAUAAGAGUCCCAAUCAUUUUUGAAAACUUCAAGGUUUUGCAAAAUAAAUGAUCCUUCAGCCUGGAUCACCUCUUCUAUCUCCUUCGUUGUAGGUGUAUAGAAUGGCAUAUUGAAUGCGUCCAAUUUUUCCUUACCAAUCAAACCCUGAUAAUUCAUCAAAAUAUACAUUUCUAAAUAGCUAAAAAGGAAAUAUAUUGCAGCCCUACUUGCUAGAAUCUAAUAUUUAAUUACCUCUAAAACCAUGUCAUUGAGUUUCAGUCCUACAAAUUCCCAAAUGCAGAGGGGAUCGUCACUCUUUAUGCUGCCCAUGGUUGUGAGGACCAUACUGCCACCAGGGACGAGCUCUUUGGCACGUGACCUCAGAAAGACUGUGAAGUCCCUUUUGAAUUGCUCCAAGUAUUGCUUAAACACAGCUGGAGGGCUUGUCUUUGCUAUAUAUAUGUUCCCCUUGUUAAGUGCCUCUCCUUCUUUGGUCACCAAGCCUUUUGGAAUCUACGUACACACGUUUAUGCUCAUCACUUGUCAGAUUAAAUUAUCAGAAACGAUUUUAGAAUUAUUAUUAUUUUACCAAUUGAAUAAAGCUAAAAAAUUAGACAAACUUGCAAGAUAUAUAUAUAUUUUUAAAUCCCUAGUUGAUUGAGAAAGUCUUCUCAUGGAGAUAUUUUUAUGUUUGAAUGCAGCAUCCUGCCAUGUGGUGUAACUAAUGAGUUAUAUAUAACUGGGUGUAUGAAGAGUUUAUGCCUAAUAACGGACUCAAUGAUUGAUUAAAAAAAAUCCAAACCUCAGAGAUCCAGUGGAGAGCAUAAGAAGAGUGAACAAAGUGGAGAGAAUUGUCGGGGAAGAGCCUGCCAUAGAAAGAGCCAGGCAUUCCUGCAAUGAAACAUGGCCCAAGCUUCUUUUCAGGUUCUUCAUCAAGUUUCUUAUAGAAGCCUGGCAAUGAUCUGAACACCGUGUUGAAAUCGUUUCGGGGAAGAUCAUUCAAGAAGGCUUGGAGUGAUGGAGGUGGGCGGUUGCGCUUUUGGAAAGUGUUGCGGAUGUUGUCUAUGAUAUCUGAUACCACCAAAAGGGUGUUGGGUCCUGAAGAGCAUCCCAAGUCCGCUACUUUCAAACACUCUGGGAACAGAGUGCAACACAGCUCCUCUAUGCUUGCAUCAACUAUAGGCUUCACCGUUGAAAUCACUGCUCUCUGAAAGUUAUAAAAAUAAAAAUAAAAAGGGUUUAAGAAAGCAUGAAUAUUGCAUAGUUUUGGUUAGCAAAAUAGUUUGAGAACAAGCCAUGCUCUUUAAGUGUGCUUGAUAUAAAAUCAACGCAACUAGAGAGAGAGAGAGAGAGAGUAACUUGAAGUAGGGAAUUGUUUGCAUAGCUUGUUUUCCCAACUCCUCCAUUCAUGUGUAGAACUUGCUCUACCUCCAUUUUUAUGUUCUCAAAUAAUACUCCUUCCUCUCUCUCUCACUCUCUUUCUCUUGGUAUCUAUUCUGCUGGAAGACUCCCUCAUAUUUAUAGCAAAAUGCUUACCCAACACAACGAACCUUACUUUUUUAGUUGGAAAGUAAGUGUUAUCUAACAUGAUAUCAAAAUUCCCAUAAGUCGCCAACGUUGAUUAUAUUCUAGGUCUUAAGUGAUAUAUGGUGGUUAAGGUGUUGGAGGAGUAAAAUGGGAGGGGUUCAAUUCCCCUUUGUGUUUUUUCCCCCUCUCUUUUUUCCCUUUUUUUUUCUUCUUCUUUUUCCUUUUUUUUUUUUCUUUUACAUCGAUAUUUUCGAUAUUUUAGUGAUAUUACACCGAUAUUUUCGAUAUUUCAUCGAUAUUAUCGAUAUUUCAGACUAUGAUCUUAAGUAUUAAAUUCCUAUGUAACUAACACAUCUUUGGCAGCAUUAGGUGUCUAACAGUGUACACUACUUUUCCUGAAUUAAAAGUUUGAUGGAAGUGCUGGUCUCUCCUUUCCUAUUAAGUAGCUGCAAAUGGACAAUUAAAUCUUGUCUUCUUCUUUUUUUUUUCAUACAAACGAUAUUAGAGGCGGAGAGAUUUCAAAUUGUAUCACGGGACUAUGAAAAUAAUUAUUUUUCGAUCGGAUGUAUUGUACAAUACAUGUCCAUCGUGUGAAACUCGUGGUCGGUGGAGAGCGAGGGCCAUCUUUUGGAGCUUAAUGACGUGGUUCAUCCAUGACCAAUGAAUCAUGCAGCAGAGCCGAAGGGGACAAUAAUGUGAGAUCGAAUGGUCUUGUUCAAAAAGAAUUUCCUUUCCAUGGGGAAUUCUCAAUUUCUCAUGCCCAGUGUUAAGAAACUAAAAUGAGGCCUAUUCUUUUUUGUCUUAUUUUAAUGUUUCCCUUGAACUUUCAUCAAUUUGGGCAAAACAAAAUGUUAACUUGCCGACAUGACUUGAGCAUAUUUAGUAGUUUGGGACACCUGACGAAGAGAAUAUUGAGUCAGUUGAAAGUUCGAAAGAGAAAUUGAAAUUCGAAGAAAAAAAAACAAGGUGACUAUGCUAUUAGCCUGACGCAGAGGCGGCCCUGGGGUGGUGCAAGUGGUGCCAUCGCACAGGGCCCCCGAUUCUAAAAGGGCCUCCCGAAAAAAAAUUCUUUAUAUUAUAUAUAUAUUAAUAUUAUAGGAAUUGUAUAUAUAGUAUAGCGUGCUAGACAUUUGCACAAGGGCGUGUCUGGUGGAGUUGGUUCCAGCGCUUCUCCAUUUAACGUAGCGCCAGAGUUUGAUUCUUGUUGAAGUCGGUCCAUAUGCUGUUUUUAUAUUAUUUUUGCAUUAUAACUAAAAACUUUACAUAAUAAAUAAAUAAAUGAAAAACCAAAAAUCCUUGAAAUAAAAGGAAACAUCGAAGCUAACCACAGGGAGGAUUAUAUAUAUAUAUAUAUAUAUAUAUAUAUAUCCUCCAAACACUUUCUACUCCGAUCAUUCUUUUAAAAAAAAAUUUAAAAAAAGUUUUCUCAUCUAAGAAAAGUAUUUUUUUCAUUCAAAACAAAACAAAAAAAACUUCAUGGAUUCUUCUUUUCUUUUAAACUCUGAUUUUCUGAUAAGUAAUCAUCAUCAUUCAUCAAUCUCUCUUUGGUUCUUUUUUCAAUCCUUUGAUAAUUUUAGUUAUUCUUUCAAUUUCAGGAAUUUCAACACCAAAAAGAGAAAACCCUAAUUCCUAUAUUCAUAAAGAACACUCAAAAUCAAAUAGUCAAAUUCAAAUUUCAGGAAUUUGUGUGCAACUACUCUUUAAUUUGUGAUUGCCAAUUUUUUUUUCCAAUUAAACACAAAUUGCUUAUUGGAGGCAGCAAAGGACCUUGUAGGGGCACAAUGAGCUUAUUUUUGUACCAAAUAUUUAAUUUUAUCAAAUAGAAACAUUUAAAUUUUUAUGAAUUUGAUUUCUAAUUGUCAUUACAUAUUUAUUCAUGACUUUUAGUUAUAAAAAAAUUGUUUAUGACAUUAAGUUAUGCCAAAUUUUUAUUUAUAGUAUUUCGUAUUAAAUUAUGUGAAGCUCCAAUUUAAGUUCGCACAGGGCCCUCAAAAUCUCAGAGACGGCCUUGGCCUGACGGUGUUGUCUAUAGGAGUUUCCAUUGCUCACCAAAAAACAGCAGCAAAUCAUAAACCCAGAAAUAUUUAUAAUAAAGAAAGAAAGAAAGAAAGUUUAGAAAAGGUAACAACUUUAGGUGGGGAAGAGAGAAGAGAAGGGGAGGGUCAGAUAUUUUCUAGGGUUGGCAAAGAUCCGUGUGUUUUUUAAACUAGUAUAAAAAAAAAUAAUAAGGGUAAACUACAGUAAAUCCUCCAACAUGUAGGGUCAUUUACGAAUUCAUACCUGCUUUUGGGGACAUUUAUGGGUACAUACUCAACGUCAUGGAAAACCUACAUAUUGCCCUCUCUGUUGUGUGCCUACGUGGCGUCUAGCUGGACAAUUUUUUAAGGGCAUUUUCGGCAGAUCAAGUCCCUGGGUUUCGCACCCAAAACAACACGUGGUUUACUUUAAUUCAAAAAAGAAAAACAGAGAACCCCCAAAUCGAGUUCCAUAUCUAAGCCCCCACUCAGACCUAGCCCCCAAAUCAAUAGAAGUGGAUACCCAGGUUCCAAUUGGAAGAAGACAAAGACGACGAUGUCAACGAGGUGGAUGAUGUCUGUAAAUCGAAGAUAGGAAAUGGGCCAGCCCAUUUGUCACUGCGGCAAUUAAUGUUGUCUGACAACGUCGUGGACUGACAACAACCUUGGGAGAAGAUUUUGGGGCUGCACCGAUUAUGGGGUAAAAAGAGGUUGUGCAUUCUUUGAAUGGUAUGAUCCACAGGUAUGCGAAAGGUCCAAGAUUGUGAUAUCUGGACUAUUGAAACGACUGCGUAAGGAAGAAGAGGAAAACCGAAAAUUGAAAAAAGAGGUUGGAGCUGCCUUGAAAGCACAAAGAUUUCUACAAGCAAGUGUUCUGGGUUCUUGGAUUUUUUUGAUUGUGUGGUUGGGAAUGCUAGUACUGGAAUGGAGAGACUCUGGAUCUUCCAAGAAUGUGAAAUUAGCACUUACAUUUUAAGGUCUAUAUCUUAGAAGAGUUAGGUGAUGUUUUUUGUGGUCAUUUAUGGGACAUUUUGGAAAAUCAAAGUGCUUUGUGUAUAAAAUGCCUGUUUCUUGUAAUUUCCCAUGUGAAGUUGUAUGAAAGAUGUUUAUGUAUAAACAAUUGUGAGGCAAUUUGGAAAUGCAUACUGUUUAUGUAUGCACAAUUGUUAGGGAAUUUCCAAUUGAACAAUUGCUUGAAGGCAAAUUCCAUUAUAUUGUGAGUUCAAAAUACAUACAUACUUUUCCAACAUUUGCAGCUCAAAUUUACAAAAUGAACAUGAGCACCUAAUCUGGAAUACAAUAAAACAGCUACCAAAAGUAAACUUAUCAGGCCACAUCACAAAACUAGAAGUUGUACUAGUUCAAAAUAAAUUGGAAUUUGCAUAAACUAAGAACUAAGAACUAAGAGCCUAUGUUCUCUGUCUCUUGGAUGCUCUCAAUCCUAUUCCAGCAAUUUCAGCUACAUUUGGCUAGGAAGCACUUAGUGCAGUCUUCUUUGCAGCAGCAGCAGCCUUUGCCCUUGCAUAUACAAGCUUUCUCCUAACUCUUACAGCUGUUUUUGCUUUAUCCUACAGAUAAAAUACACUUUCAGCUUCAAACAAUAAAACAAUGAAAUUGCUUUUCCAUUUUAAGGAAGAAACAACAUAACAUUUCAUCAAUAGCAUAGCAAUAAAAAUAGGCACUCACAGCAGCAACUGCAGGGCCUUGAUUAGAUAUUUUUCUUGGUCUUCCUUUACCCCUUGAAAGGGGUUUUUCCUUUUGAGGUAGAUUCUGAUGAUGAGUGGUUUUGUUAUGGCCAGUUGAGCCACAAAUACUACACCUCAUUUGCAUUCCUUGUCUUCCAAACCAUUAUUUCACAGUCUUAUCUAUUCUCUCUUCAGCUCCUUUUAUCGUCACCUUUCUAGGUCUUCCAGGUUGUCUAGUGUAGGCUGGUGACUUUAUUGCUGUCUAGUUGGUCUUCUCCCAUAGCUGUGAUCCAUUAAUUGGCAUAAUGAGAUUGUUAUAGAGGGCCAUGUAAUUGUCCUUGAUAUAGUAUGAAUGCAUAUAAUCCUCCACAGCUUUACCUCCUUUGUAAUGUAUGGCAGCAAUUCCAUGAGCACAAAGAAUGCCUGACAAGUCCCACUUUUUGCAAGAACAAGUGUGAUUAUCCAAAUCCACCACAUAUUGGUCACCUUUUCCUGCAUCCACUUGAUAUUUAGGACCACCAGACCACUACACAGUACAAUUACAUGCUUCUAUCUUUUUCUGUUGCACAUGGUCAAAAAUGUUCUUGCAUAUUUUAUUAGGCCAACUGCUCAUCUUGUCCCUCCUCCACUGGAUCCUUCUCAUCAAUAAGCACCUGAUCAUCUCUAGCGUUGGAUAAUUGGCAUGUCCCUUGCUGUCUUGAUACUAUUGUUGAAGCUCUCAUACAAGUUAUUCUGCAGCAUAUCACACUUAAUAUGUGUUUUGAAAUAAGACUUACUCCAUUGUGUUCGUGGCUUCUCAGCAAGCCACUCCCAUGCAUUGCUAUCUAAGGUCUUCAUUACUUCCAUUUGAUACUUAAAACAAGGCGCAUUGGUAGCUCUAGCACAUGUCCAUAAUUGAUCCCUCAAUACUUUACCUUUAUACGUUUUGUUGAAGUUAUCCCAAAGGUGCCUCACACAGAAUCUUGUCUCAGCAUUAGGCACAAUGUCUUCAAAUGCACAAGGCAGUCCUUUUUGCUUGUCAGAUAUAAAGGCCCAUCCAUGAGAAUUAACAAUGUCCACAUCCUUGGCCAACAGAUCAAUGAACCAUGUCCAUGACUCCCUUAUUUCCAUCUCAACCACAGCAUAUGCUAGCACCCAAGUCUCGUUAUUGGGAUCGAUCCCAACUGCUGUAAGCAACUGUCCACCAUAAACCCCUUUUAAAUGGCAUGCAUCUAACCCAAUAAAAGGCCUACAGUUCAUCUUAAACCCUCUCUUUAAUGGUUCUAGACAAAUGUACAAACGCUUGAAAACAGUUUCACCAUCAACAAACUCACACUACAUCUUUGUUGUGGAGUCAGGGUUUUUGUCUUCCAGCUCAUGACAAUAAUCCCAGCGCAUGGCAUAUUGCUCAGCAACUGAUCCUUCAAUCAUUCGAAGCGUGUCUGCCUUUGCCCUGUAAGCUUUCAUCCUAGAUAUACCUACUUUAAACUCAGAAGAUGCUGCAUUCACUAUAGAAUGUGGAGGCAUGGUGGGAUUUGACUGAAUCCUAGGCAGGAACUUCUCUGUCAACCAUUUACUUGAGGCUUGUGUGUUUUCAAAUACUCUGACACAAUUGUGAUUGGGAUUAUAAUAUUUCACCACCAAGCUUCGAUCUGUAGGGUUUUCCCUAGCCAAAUAAAUCUGCCAUGGACACUGCUUUACAAACUGCCUUCAACUUAUACUUUUCAUUCCUGGUGAAAGCGACCUCUUUCCCACUCAACAAGCAAUAUUCACGAACAGCUUCUCUGAAAACCUUGCAGUCACUGAAUAUCAUUCCAGUAUCAAAAACAGGGUUUUGUUUGUCUGUUUCAUGGUUGUAGUGUUUGAAUUUUUUCCCCCUUGCAACUGUUUCAUCAUCUUCAUCUAAAUGAACACUUCUUAACUCAUCCUCCACUGCUUGACCCCCCCUCUUCCAAUCUGGUGUCUUCAAGAUCUGUGCGGUGAAAAUUUGUAGUCCGAGAAGUCUACUCCCUAUUUUGACCAGUCUGUGAAGGUUAGUCUUCAUUUUGACCAGUCUGUGAAGGGUGGUCCCCACUUGGACCAGCUUGUGAAGGGUGGUCCCCACUUGGACCAGCAUGUAAAGGUUGGUCCCCACUUGGACCUUCACCCUCAUUAACAACACCACCUUCAUUAACAGCACCACAUUCACCCUCAUUUAUCUUUUCAUCUUCAAGAGGCUGAAAAGUAUCUUCAACUGGGGCAUGGUCUGCAAUCCAAUGUUGCAAAAAUAUGGUUUUCUCAGCUAUCUCUUUAAUGUUUCCCCCUCCCCCCAAUACUCACUGUCAACAAAAGUAGAUGCAUCUGAUAAGGAUGCAUCACUAUCUUCCCUUCUGUUGCACUUGCCAUUGCCACACCUUUACCCUUUGAAGACUUUAUAGCCCUUGUAGCCCUUGCCCUCUUUGGUGCCUCAGGUUCAGCCACUUUUUUACCCUUUGAAGACCUAGUAGCCCUUACACUCUUUUGUGGCUCAGGUUCAGCCACUUCCUUAUCCUUUGAAGACCUUGCAGCCUUUGCCUUCUUUGCUGCAUCAGCCACUGUUUUACCCUUUGCAUUUUUUGGUGCCUCAUGUUCUGAAAAAUCCCCAACAUCCUCCACUGGUUCUUGCUCCACUAUCUUCACUGUUUUACCCUUUGCAUUCGUUGGUUGCUCAACAUUGCUCCUUGUCUUAUAAGGAACAAGAGGAAUAGAAUCAGCACAUCCUAUAUCCUCAAUCACGACUUACCUCUGUUUUUGUACCCCAGAACCUUCCACCCUUUGCAGCUCGAUCUCUUUGUGUUUGUUUAAAAAGGUAUAAGGGUCAUCAGCCAACUGUGUCAAAAAUAUAUUUAUCUCCCUUACUCCUGGCACACAUUCACACAUUUUCAGAACAUCUUCAUCAGACAUAAGCUUCUCUACAGAAGCAGAGUUGGGAAGCUCAUAGUGAUAUAACACUAUACCAUCAUAGCCUAACUCCUUAACCAUCAUACCAAUUUCAAACAUAGACAUUUGGUCCUUAUCACAAAAAUCAAUGAAAUCCAGAGUCCCAUUUACAUACAGGUUGUCACAUAAAGAACCCCCAUGGUUCAUUCGAAUAGUAAACUUAUCAUCUUCACCUACAAAGCCACAUAACAGUCAAACCUAUCAAUACAAAAUUGUUCAAUAUUUAACUGGUGACUAAACAAGGACAUAAAUAAAUGCAGAGGUUUUGGACCACUAAGUACUGUCUUGAAUCGAAAGCAGUUUGGUUUGAAAGAAAAAAAGUGCUUUUUUUUUUAUGCCUUUCCAACAACACAACGACAUAAAUGGACCAUGGACCACAAAUAUCACUAUCACGCACACUUCAAAGCAACUGAAAGGUUCAGACAAAAUCAAACCGCACGCAUCUUAACCCUUUACGAGGAAACCAAAAAGCAAGAAAAGUUAAAACUGCCUUCAACUUACAGUAAUGAGGAGCACGACAACCACGAGGACGAAUACCCCACAGCAUCUCGAAUUACAGCAACCCAGCCUUCUUUGCGCCUUCGAUCGAUGCAAAAUGGCGAUUAGGUUUCAAUUUGUGCAAUCGGUUUCGAUUUGGGGGGGAAAUCGAUUUCGGUGAUGGAGGUUAUGGACGACGAGCUUCUGGAACAUGGAUUCGGGGGUUUUUUUAUUUAUUUAUUUUUUUAAUUACAUAAUGCCACGUGUUGGUUUGGGCGCGAAACCUAGGGAUGUGAGAUGCCGAAAAUGCCCUUAAUAGAUUUCCUGAAUUACAAAAGGCUAGACGCCACGUAGGCAUAUAACAGAUUUCCUGACUGACUCGCUAACGGAGGGGGCAAUAUGUAGGUUUUCCGUGACGUUGAGUAUAUACCCAUAAAUGUCCUCAAAAUCGGGUAUGAACUCGUAAAUGACCCUAUAGAUUUGGGGGUUUACUGUAGUUUACCCAAAAAAAUAAUAACAAAACAUAUGUAUUUUUCUCUUCUUUUAUUUUUAAUUUUUUUUUAACUUUGAAGAGAAAAGGUACACUAUACAUAAAAAUAAGGGAAAUAGCCCUAAAUGCCACCAUUUUUAUAAUUGUAAUUAAAAAUACCACCCCUUCCCAAUUUUUGUACAACUAUCACCUAUAAAUAUAAAAUUAUUGUCCACUUAUUGCAAUUUUUUCACAAGUCCAGAAAUUUUGUUCUCUCUUAGCUCACACAGCUCUCUCUCUCUCUGGCACAGCUCUCUUUCUCUUUGGUAUCUGUCUAUCACAGCUCUCUGCGUCUCUCUUGGCUCUCUAUCUCUUGGCUCUCUCUCUCUCUCUAGCACAACUCUCUGUCUCUCUCUUUGCUCUCUUUCUCAUAGCGCAGCUCUUUCUCUCUCUAGCUUCGUUAUGUCUGUUUCUCCCCUAUUCGAUCUCUUGCUCUUUGUUUGGAAUCGCGAACUCCUCCCUUUAGCUAUGUCUUCUGAAUAGCUGCUUGCAACCUUGAAGCUCUAGUGGAUUGUCGACCUCGAAAAGGUAGUGUUGAUGGUUAUUUUGUUAAUAUCAGUGGGAUUAUGUGAAAUGGGUUAUAGUUUGAUUGUUGGGUUUGUGUUAAAUUUGUUUUGGCUUUAAUUUCUUUGGGUUAGGUUUUGUUGAAUAUUCAUGCUCAUUCAUCUGGGUUUGUACCAAUUGCAUUUAGAUUGGUCUGGAUAUGUGAAUCUUGAAACUUGGGAUUUUUCAUUUGAUGUAGUAGAUCUGUAUAGUGUGAUUCUGAUGUGUUACUGGUGUAGUGUUGUUGUGUUCCUCUUAUUUUACUGUCGUAUUGCUGUUAUAUUGACAUUAUAUUGUGUCUAUAUUGCAGUUAUAUUGUGGUUAUAUUGCUAUUGUAUUGUAUGGUUAUUGUGGUUAUAUUGGGUUAAUGAAAUGUUGUUUUGUCAUGGUCAGAAAUGGAGACAAUUAUUAUUCUCGUGUGCUACAAUGAAAAAUGGGUCACCUCGAAGAAGAUGUCCAAAUACGAAGGGGGUGACUCAAAAGGCUUAAUAGUUCCACGGACUAUCAAAUUUGCUGAACAGUUGGACCGUGUGCAUCAGAUUGGUAAUACAAAUAGCAGGGAAGACAAGGUUUGCUUAAAAUUCUCAGUUUUAGUGGCCUCGAAUGAGUGGAAGCACAUAAAGAUUGAGGACGAUGAUGAUGUCAAUUUUUUUAUGAAGUACAAUUCCAAGGUAGCACCUUCAAAACUAGCUCCCUUACUCGUGAGUAUAGAAGAUAAAGGACUGACAAAUGAUGUAGUUCAUAGUACUCAUAUCACGACAGAUAGUAGUCGGAUGGGUCAUUCUUCAGUUGCCAUUGUUGAAAGCAAUGAAGUAACUUGGAAUAAUAAAAAUGUCACUGAUGUGGGAGGUGAAUUAGGGACAGAUUUUAUGGAUAUGAUUGAUUUUAGCGAGGUGGAGGAGAUGCAUGGUGGUGAUAAUGGUACUGAAAGAAAUGAAGUGUCAGUGUACUCUGCCCCUCCUAAUUUGGGCUGCUUGAACACAGCUACCCAGUUGCCAAUAAUGCGUUUAGGAGGAGAAUCUGAACCCACUCGUCAACAUUAUUGGAGUCAAAUGGGUGAACAAAACCGGUACAAUGAAGCCGGUGUAAAUGAUGACGGAGCAUAUUUGGACAGCGGGUUUUCACGAAGUGAUUGGAAUCCGAAAAUUACAGUUGGGAAAUUUUCUCUAGUAAGAAAGCAUUGUUGACGGAGUUACGGUUCACGGCAUUAAGAGGCCACUUUGAAUUUAAGGUGCAAUUCUCUUGCACUAAGAGGUUGCUUGUGGUUUGUUGUCAACUUCCAUGCCCAUGGCGGGUCCGAGCAUCUAGAAUUGGAGAAUACAUCUUCAUGAUUGUGAGGUGUACAACUGUUCAUGAAUGUGAUUUGAGGUUCGUAUGUGACAAGCAUCGUCAAGCAACCGUAGCACUUGUAGCCACUUCACUUAAAAGGAAGUUGAAGGAUUCUCAGACAAUAUACACACCAAGUGACAUUAUGAGAGAUGUGAAACACAGUUUUGGUUGCACCAUCCAUUAUUCGAAAGCUUGGAAAGCAAGGGAGUUAGCUCUAUUGUCCAUUAGAGGAUCAGCGGAGGAGGCAUAUUAUAUCCUUCCAGCUUAUUGCUAUGAAUUGGAGCGUAUGAAUCCCGGCACAAAAACACACAUCCAAACUGAUGAGAACAAUCACUUUGUGUAUUUAUUUAUGGCGGUUGGCGCAUGUAUUAGAGGGUUCCGUUCUUCCAUACGCCCAGUGAUAGCCGUGGAUGCCACUCAUUUAAAAUCCAAGUACAAGGGUGUUAUGUUUGUAGCAAAUGCAUUCGAUGGUAAUCGAAAUAUAUAUCCUCUUGCUUUUGGGAUUGGGGAUUUGGAGACGGAUGCAUCAUGGCAUUGGUUUUUCACUAAACUUCAUGAAGCCAUUGGUGAGUGUCUCAAUCUUGUUAUUAUUUCUGAUCGCAAUGUUAGCAUAGAGAAUGUGUGGAACAAAAUUUUUCCAACUGCAGAACAUGGCAUAUGCUUUUAUCAUAUGAAGGGGAACAUGAAACGCACUUGCAAGUUGAAAAAGCGUGAUCACAUACUUAUGCACUUUGAGCAGGCUGCGAAAUCUUAUUCCAUUGCUGAAUUUGAUUGUCAUUUUCGCAACAUCAAGCGAAAGGAACAUGUUGCUCAAUAUCUUGAAGAGGCAGGGUUACAUAAGUGGUCUAGAGCUCACAUGGAUGGACGCCGCUACAAUGUAAUGACAACAAAUAUUGCGGAGUCAAUCAACUCAGUUCUUAGGUUUGCAAGGAUGCUGCCAGUGGUUCAUUUGAUAGGGGAAAUUAUUAAUCUCCUUGUGAAAUGGUUCACCGAACGUCGUGAGUUGGCUUUGAAUUGCACAACAACAUUGUGCCCCAAUUUCGGAGAGAAGAAGUUGAGGAACAGGUUGGAGGAUGCUGCAAGGAUGAAUGUGGUUAAAUUAAAUAAUGCACAGUUUAAUGUUUUGGACGGUGAUAAGGACGGCCUCGUAAAUUUGACGAACAACAGUUGUAGUUGUAGAAAGUUUCAGCUUGAGCAGCUACCUUGCAAGCAUGUAGUUGCAGUUUGCCGCUUCUUGAAAGUAAAUGUAUACUCAAAGGCUUCUCGGUAUUACACUCGGAAAACCUGGAUGGAUGCUUAUUCGGAUACCAUCUACCCGGUACAACCUCACGGAAUGUGGGAUAUUCCUGAAGAUGUUCGAAGUCGAGUUGUGCUGCCUCCCAUGGCAAGGGUCAUGCUAGGCAGACGAAAGAAGAUAAGAAUUCCCUCGCAAGGAGAGGGCACCAUUAGAAGAAAGUGCUCAAGGUGCGGUUCCGCAGGCCGCAAUAAAAGCACCUGUAAAAACAAUAUUCCAUUGCGCAAUGUAUCUUAGACAAUAUGAUUUGUGUUGCUUUGGUAGGUCAUGUAAACUCUACUUUUAUUCGUGGUGGGUUUCGUGUUAUGUUCAAUGGGAAUUCUUUUAAAUUUGCAUAAUUUCGGUUGCAUUGCUACAGCAUGUUGUAUUGCUGACAGAUUGCUAUUAUAUUGUACGUUUAUUGCACUGGUAUUGCUUCCAGAUUGCUAUUAUAAUUUGAGUGCGAAAUUAAAGGGACUGGAAUGUAAUUCCAAAUGGAUCCAAAACAUUAAAGUUCUUAAAAUUCCUUUAUUACACAGUUACUGUGAUACUCCGACUAUACCUUCUUUUCUGAUUACAAAUUCGGCCGAUGCAUAGGCCAGAUGUGGGGCAAAUACAAGGUGAAAUGUCCUGUGUGUUUGACUACAUAUACUUGUUGAAGGAGCAUUACGAAUGUCAACCUCAAUAGAUUGCUCAUGUCUUGCCAAGAACACUCUUGAAUUUAUGCAAUGUGCCCAAGCCAGUCCCAAAGCUGGACUCACCCGUCUGCCUGAUGUGUGCAGGGACUCCAAGUUUCCCAACCUCACCCCAUUCACUCCAUCAUGUGGCCCAAUAAAAUCCAUCACUUGGUUGGUGACAACCACGCCAACCCAAACUUAUUUGCUAAACCCUUCAAUGUCCCAGAUAUGUUGAAGAACAUUUCAGACCACCGUUUCAAAUCUGCUGGUGUUGUCUGAUACUGUGAUCGGAACAAUGCAGCAAUGGAAUCAAUGACAAUGAGUUUCACAGGUAGGCGGGUGUGAUCAAUGGCAAUAAAUGCUUCUAUGUCUCCAAGGACAUGGAUGAGUUGUUGAGCAUCAUGAACACCAUGAACAUAUAUGUCUUCCAAUGGCUCCAACCUUAUUAAGUUGGGGUAUGAUGCAUGAUAAAGGUUGCCUAGUUGUUGCAAUCGACGAAAUGGGAAGCUGAAUUCUGUGAAUAUGUAGACGGAGGAGCCCCUUAGUCCGCCAUGUAAGGGUGGGAGCUGAGCUCGUACCGUAAGUUGGAGACAAAGCUGCGUCUUCCCGGAACCACUCUCCCCUACUAAUUCUGUUAUGGAGUUGCAGGGUAUCCCACCCCCCAAGGAGUGAUCUAGUAUUGGGCAUCCAAUGGAUAAUUUAGGGGUUGAAAGAGGAAGGAGCAUGAGGUUUUGGGGUGUCAUGUUUGUGUAAUUUAGGGGCCGAUGUGAUGGUGCUACAAGGCAUGCAUUAUAUAUAUAUAGAGUUCAUUUUGAAGGUCUGUACUGUAGGCCAUACGUCUUUUAAGGGAUGUAUAAUUCAUCCUUUUUUCAAGUUGUAAUUACUUUUUUGUUUAUUUAUUACUAUUUUUUUGGACCAAUUAAUUUAAAAAACAUUCUGAUGCAGUACGUACUGUAAUAGGAUCAUAUUGUAACUCUAUCAUCACUCUAUUGUACUCUUAUUGACAUAAUAUUGCCAUUAUACGCAUGUUUAUUGUAUAGUUAUUGCUGCUAUAUCGCCACUAAACUGGACACCGAUAAACUGUAUACACACAAAUACAAAAAGAGGCUUCAUCAUUCCAUAAAAUCCUAAUUCCAAACUUACAUAAUACAACAACAGGCCACCCCAUCAUUACAUAAUACAAAAAUAGGCCGCCUCAUAGUUUCAUUUCCCUGGUGUUGACAAAUUCGAAGUUGCAUAGUCUUCAAGUGCGGUGACCGCGACCCAUGAAAUUCAUGACCCCGGCCACAGUGAUGUUGGCCCAGGAUCCUGCCGGAUCCACUAUUUUUGCAAACUUACGAAAAUUUUCAAAUCCGCUUUCCACUUCUUCUUUCUUCAACUUGGCCAUUGCUUCUGAUUCCUUGAAUACCAUAAUUGCAGUGGCAGGGGCAAUUUCAAUUUUUGCUUUCAUUGCCUUUAUAUGUAGGAGAUGCAUGCGAACAUGAUAACGAGAGCGAAUUGUGCGGUUUUUUAUGACACCCCAUCUACCUUGGCCCUCCACAAUUUUUGAAACUAUGUCUGCAUGAAGAUUUUUCCAAAACAUCGUAUUGCCUCGACAUUGCUGCAUGCCAUGGACCAAAUCUGCAGGGAGUGAAUUAGGUGAUUUGGCUUGUGUUUCAGUCUCCCCUCCUUCAGUAAUUGAAAGCAUUGGGUUUGGUGUGAGGUUAUGGUCCAUGGUCUUCGAUAUUUAUUGUAGCCUGGUGUACAACUUAAUUGGAAAAAAGGGGGACUAAAUGCGAUGUGAGUGAAAUCAGUGGGGAAGGUAAUGGCUGCAAGCAGGAGUUAAUGUGAUGGAAGUUUUCAUUUCAAACAGCUGGGUUGAUUAAUAUAGGCAGGUUUUAAUGACCUGGAGUAACUCAGAGAGUUAUUGGCGGGAGGAUUAGGGGGAGUAAUUGGCGGGAGGGAUUGGCGGGAGUCUUAGGCGGGAUAGUAUUGGGCGGGAGUUAUUAGCCAGUUCACUGUAUGCCUUUUUGUAAUAUAGUUGUAUGUUGGACGUUCCGAACUUGGUCAUUUUCCCAUUAUUUAAUUCAAAUAAGGGAUUUGCCUAUUUGCCUAAUUGACCAACUCAUUCAAAUUGACCAAUAUGGUUAUUGUCUUAUUUCUCAUUUCAGCAAUCUCAAUUCGUUUCCAUUUUUCCAUUAUUCAUAUUUUCCUAUUUUCCAUGUGUCAUCCAAUUUUCCAAUUUUCCAAUUUCUCAUUAUUUUUGCCUAUUUUUGCCUAUUCCCUAUUUUCCUAUUGUGCAAUUUCCCAAGUUUCCUUUUGUUAUAUUUCCAGUUUUCCAAUUUUUCAAUGUUCCCAUUUUCCCAUUAUGUAAUUAAAAAAAAUUGCCUACUUUGCCUAAUUCAGAAAGUAAAUAAAAUUGUCCAAUAUGGUAAUUGUCUUAUUUCCCAUUUCCACAAUUUCAAUUCGGUUCCAAUUUUCAUAUUUUCCAUGUGUCCCUGUUUCCUAUUUCCAUUUUUCAAAUUCAGUUUUUGUCCAAUUAUCCAAUUUUCUUUUUUCCAAUUGGACUAUUUUCUAAGUUUCUUUCUUUUUCCUUUUUCCAAUUUUUCAAUUUUUCAAUUUGCUAACUUUCCUUUUGUUCUAUUUCCAAUUUUGCUAUUUUCCAAGUUGCCUUAUUUCCUAGUUUGCAAUUAUCCAGUUAUCCAAUAUUCCAAAUUUUCAAUUAUCCAAUUUGCGAAUUUGCCUAUUUUUCAAGUGUCCUUUUUUCCUAUUUCCUAUUUAGAAUUUUCCAAUUUUCUUCUUUUCAGAGUUUCCAUUUCUUCCUUUUUCCUAUUUUCCAAGUUUCCUUUUGUCCAUUUUCCAAUUUUCCAAUUUUUCAAGUUGCUUUAUUUUCCAAUUACCCAAAUUUACAAUUUUCCAAGUGUCCUUUUUUCCUUUUUCCUAUUUUCCUAUUUUCCAAUUUUCCAAUUUUCCAAUUUUCUCCAAUUUUCCAACUGUCAUUUUAUCCUAUUUCCUAGUUUCCUCUUUCCAAUUUUUCCUUUUUUCCUAUGUCCAAUUUUCCAAUUUUCCAAUUUUCCAAAUUUCCAAGUUUCCAUUUUUUCGUAUUUCCGAUUUUCCAAUUUUCCUUUUGUUCUAUUUCCAAUUUUCCAAGUUUCCUUGUUUCCCAUUUUCCAAGUUUUCACUUUUCCAAUUGUCCAAUUUUUCAAUUUUCCAAUUUCGGUAAUUUCCAAUUUUCUUUUCUGAAAUUCGCAAUAAAUGCUUACUGACAUAGUCCUAUUUUGGGUUGAAAUCCACAAUUUACAAUGUCCCAUUAAGGUUUGCUUUUUUGUCGUUUGGAAGCCAUUUUUUGUUGUUGUUAAUGUAAUGUUGUACUGCUGUCAAUUGCAGCCAAGGAGUUAAUGGUGUAGUUUGCAAUCCCAUCAAUUGAAUGCACCAACUAAACACGCAAUAUACUUCAUAGUAGUUCGUACAUAUAACUGAACCUUCCUAUAUAGAACUGCAACAGAGGCACCUUCUUAACGGGAAAGGUAAUUAGUCUUAGUGCAGCACAAACAUUCUCCACUAAAGCAAACCAUGUUGUCGUUUACAACUGGAGACUGAAUGUAGCUUUAUUUGUUUUGUUGCAGGCAACAGCUGUGAAUUGUCCCCAGUAAUACUUAAAGAUGUCGGAUGUACGCCCUCCAAAUGAGCAUGUCAGUUACCCGGGGGACCAGCUGUGGCAUGUGCCAUUCCCAUCUCCACCUCGGACUCCCAAUCAUGAUCCCACUUCAUCUGGAAGUGAGGCUGAGAUCAAUGAUCCGCUUGACCAAAUCUCUGCCGUCAAGCACCACCUCCAAUAUAUGUCAAAGGCAACGGAUUGGUGGGAGAGUAAGUGCGAUAUUCAUGGCCAAGUUAUGGGAAACUUGACGAACAAGUUGAACAAAGCAUACACAGGAGAGGUGAAGCAAACUCUAAAAGCAAAAAGUCGGAGCAAAGAGUUAGAGUCGUUGAAGUUGAAAUUGGAAGAGAGAAAGAAAAAUGUCGUCGAAAAAUUCACACAAUCUGAAGAAUAUAACCAUGAAAUGGUUGAAUGUUUCAACAACGGCUUCGAAAUGUUCCAAGAUUAUGCUUCGGUCAUCUCACCAGAAUACAAUUGGAGUGAAAUUGAUGUAGCUGGUGUCUGGCAGGUGCUGAAUAUGGGUGCUGAGGGAAUGGCUCAUCAUAGCCUCGUGCAUGCAGCGAGGAGAAAGGACAAAGACAUGGAUCUUUUGAUGGACCUGUAGUAACGGUGAGUGCUGCUUCAGUUCAUCUCACCUGAGUACAUGGAUCUUUUGUUGCCUUCAUUUUCCCUUCGCGGGAUAGUAUUGUUAAGGUUCGGUGGCGAUUUCUUUUGCAUGGGUGAAAUGUUGUCUGUAAUGUGUAUGUAUUGUAUGUAGAUUGACUUAAUAUUGUAGUUCUAUUGCAUGUAUAUUGCCUUCAUAUUGCCUGUAUAUUGUAUAUAUAGUGUAUGCAUAUUGCCACCCUAUUGUAUCUAUAGUGGAAUACUAUUGCUAUCGUAUUGCCCUUAUAUUGCUCUAAUAUUGCCUCUAUAGUGCACUUAUAUUGACCUAAUAUUGUUGUUAUAUCGUAUGUCAAUGGCAUGUGGUCUAAUAAGUCUCCACUUCGUUGAAAGUAAUCCUGAAUUCAACUAUGACGGACACGACAAUUGUUAUCCAUCCUUAUAUUACCAUGAAUUGAUGUGGACCUUUCAAAUGAUAGCUGGAGUUGCACAUGGAAUCAUAUUCAAAAGGAAAGUAAUUCUCUCCCUCAAUUAAUUGUCCUUCAAAAGAAGGCAGCUAUCAAAUAUUGGGUACAAAAAUGCAACAGCCACAGUAAAUGAAUUGGCCACAAACCACAUAUUAUGAAACCAGGAUGAUUUUUGGCAUGCUUCAAAAGAGAAGGGCCAAAUACAACAGAAAAUAAAAUCCAUUCAAGCUUGUACAAUGGAAUGCACAAUAACCCUGUUACAUGUCCUUCCAACACCAGUGUUUUACCUACUUUAGAGUCGCAGGAGGAGAGCAUAUUGCCAUUGUGCAAUUCGAGGGGCCAGUCAAUUUGGAAUGGUGGCAUAAACAUGUUUACUCCACGGAUCACUUCUAUGGGACAGAGCUUCCUUCUUCCCUUGUCGUCUGUAGGUUUGAACUUCACAAUUUUUAUGUACAUGUAUCAGAACUUGUGGCUAUUUCUUUAUGGCCUUCUAACACUUGUUCUGCCAUUCCAAAGUGGGUUGGAGAUUUUUUGACCUGAAUGACUGAAAAGACUUCAGAUGAUAGAAACUAGAGAUUUUGAAGAAAAAGGGUUAUCAAGAACAUAAGUCAUGCCCACAAAAUAAACUAAACAUGCUAUAAGCUCCACAGUAAUUUUUACUUCAUCUCCAUAAGCAGAAUAUGAGCGAAUAAAUACCACGGAGAAAUACGAGAAGUGAAAAACAACUCGGCAGUUACUGUGAGAUUGUGUACUUAAAACUUGGAAGAACUAAACCAAUUAAAGCUAAGCCAUCUCAUACGUAUACCUACAUCAAAUAACAGUAUAUGCUCAUCUUGUUUAGAAUAUUGCAAUCAACACUUGGUUGAGACCAACAUGCAAAAACAACUAGGUUAAGUACAGAUGAAGCCAUUGAUGAAGGGCAGUUCCAAAAUUAAGACUUAUGGUAAUUUGUAACUGCCACCGAGUCAGUUCAUAGUGCCAAAUGCAUCUACCGGCCAUGCACAUAUGACCAGCGAAAAGUAAAAAAGCAAAGUAAAAAAGAAAAAACAGGCAUGCUAUCAAUGGGAACCUUAGCAGAAAUCAUCACAUAUGCAUACAAGCAGAUGGGCUCCAUUACAAUGUUCAAGAAUGAUGUAAAUACUAGAUAACAGAGUUCUUAUUCAAACCUCAGGAGGUUUGUUGGUUUCAUUCCUGGACCUUCAAUAUCGUCUUGCCCAAUAGCAUCAGUUGACUUAGUCAAAGUUCCAGACAAACACUCAACCAUUUCUUUUAGACCCUGCAAGAAAGUGGCAUGACUUAAAUUUAAUUUUUGGAUGGUGCGAUGAAUUCAGUUGGUUCUUUUUCUGAUAUGCAACAUAAUGAAACUACACCAAAGAUCAGGCAGAUCUGGGAGCAUCCAUGUAAUUAUAGAUGAUAAAAAAAAGCUAUACCUUUAACACGAAGUCAGCAACUUCUUUCACAAUUUUGUAUUCACCUUUACAUAAAUAAGUAGCAAUCAGGGCCUACAAACAAACACAUUUUAGCUGUGUAAAUUUGAUGUCAAAUGCAAAGACACACACUUCAUCACAAAACCCCAAUUUGCAGACAAAAAUCUGUGAAAUUUGGUCCAGUUAAAAUAGGAAAAGAAUUCCACACUCGGGGUGAAGUAAAACUGAAACUUAGACUUCACCCACUGAUUGAUCUGGAUCACCAAAUGGAAAUGAGUACAUACGAACUGCGAUGAAAAAAUGAGAGAGAGCAUACCUGACCAUAUGCAGCCAUUGCAUCAGUUAGAAGGGAUACAGCCAACCAAACUUGUAUACAUAUCUGAUGAGCAGCCAUAGCUACUGGACUUGACGAGCAGCCAUUGAUGUUCCCAAUGUCAAGGUAGUAAGAACAGCAAGAGUUGUUCCAAGAAGAAAACCACUUGUAUCAUCCCAGAGUUGAAAACAAAAGCAAUUAGGGAAAGAACUUUGAAAAGGAAGACAAGAGAGAAUUAUCUCGAGGUUUAACUAGCAUCACAAAGACAAAAUGAAACAUUAAGACACACACUGUCCAGAUACAUGCACUGCUCAAUCAGAAAACGAAAAAAGUCAAAUAUUAUGAUAGUGUUGAUAGUCAAGCAAAUAAUUGAAGCAGAACACUUGAAAAAAAGGGCUUAUAUUUUCAGAUAUAUGAGAGGGUAAAAGUUUAAAGAAAAAGAAAAGGAACUGAGCAGAUUUUAUGUAUCCACCAAAUUGCAAUGAUCCCACCUUUGGAGGCAAUAGUAUAGCUCUCUUAUUUAAAAACCAGAUCAUUCAAAAGGUGACAGUGUAUCUGAAAACAAAAAUUCCAAAAUAUGUUCAUUUGCGAAGUAAAGCAAAAAAGGAAUAUUAACAGAAACUGUUUUGAAAAUCACAUAAUGAGAUAUAACAGUGGAAAGGGCUGCACCAGUUACACCCAAACCAAAAUAAUACAUAAGGAUGGGUAAUAAAAAUGCAGCUAGGAGAUUACCAAUACCUGCACAAAGCAAAAUACAUCAAUUAACCAGAUAGACCACUCUUUGCACUCUUUGCUAUACUUUCACUCUUUGCAAGAUCUUCAGCAACAAAAGAUGUAGCAACACUGAGGAGAGGGAUAUUAAAUAGCUUUGAUAUAUAAUUGAAGAUGUUCAUUGAAAUACCAGCUGAAGCCAACUCCACAGAACCUAUGGAAAAAUAAAAAAGCCAAAAACAUUGAAUAAAAGCUCCAAAGUUCAAUGCAUUAUACAAAUAUUAGUCGUUCAACUCAUUUAAAGGAGUGAAAACAUACCCAAUCUACCAAUGUAAGCAGUCUCCAUUAGCUGUGCUAAGGGAUCAAUGGCCUGACCCAAAAUUGCAGGUAAAGAAAGCAUCAACAGCUCACGUUUGACAUCUGGAGAAUAUGUUUGACUGAUAGGAAUGUUGCUCAACGAUAGACAGGUACUGAAGAAUCAUUUACCCAAAACAAGCAUAAAACAAUGUUUAAGAUAGGUAUCAAAUCUUGUAACCCCCAUCACCUAAAACUAAUUAAGAGUAAUCAUAAGAAUUUCUGCCACUCACUGAAAUAGACAGGACCAAGAAUCUGUUAGCAAUGUUUCUCAUAUCAGCUUCACAAUGUUUAAGAUAGGUAUCAAAUCUUGUAACCCCCAUCAGCUUGCUUGCCCUUGUAAGAUCAAGAAGGACAAAGGAAGGAAGGGACUGGCUUUCAUCAACAGUAGAAAAACUCAUCCACAGCUAUCAUGCUCAUAUUACCAUUCACUCUAACAAACCAGAGUUUUCACAAAAUGAUAAAUUUCUAACAAAUUUGAAAAAAUAUGAAUCUCUGUGCAAGGAAAAUGGGCAGUUCAGCGUAGGCAGAUCAGUAUUAAGUAGUUUACGAAAACAUAACAGUCCAUUCCAGCACUAAGAUGUCUAUCUUAUGUCCAAUUAUGAAGGGAAGAAAAAUAUAUCACAUAUUAGAAGAAAUCAUAUCAAACUAAUGAAAGUAAGAACAUCAAUUAUUUACAACGAACUAAGUCAAAACUAAAUGGAGAAAUGUUAACAGAGUUGUAUGCUUCAAUAAGUCCAGUAACAGAUUCCCAAAACCACAGACAAAAAAUGUGAACAAUGGCUACAAAAGCAUCCAUAAAGAGCAACUAUAUUCAUAUAUGGAGGUGUACAAAAUAGUUAACCUUCAAAAUCGAAAUAGUGUGUGUGCCAUGUAAGGCAAUUAGCCACUGCUUCUAGACUGUACAAUAUUACACCUCACCAUAAUAUCUAAACCAACUAGCUCUAGCAAAAAGGGAUGAUGACCAUAUGAAGUACCCCCACCAAAGCAUCUACGUCUGCAUGUUCAUAUGAAGGAGUUCCUGACAUAAGUUAUGAGCAAAGUGAAUUCCCAAGUCAUAAGUCCAUAGUGAGGUGAAUUCACGGACAUUAAGACAUUUACCUCAUAAAUAUGCCUCCCCCCUUAAACCCUCAAUUGCAAGCUUCAGUCGGUAAUAUUUGAUCUUCAAAGGGUCAACUUUAUCCACCGAAAUCCCAGCACUAAGAUGCUCGAAGAAUUUGACGGUCAUGAUUCCGCAAGACGUACUGUCAUGCCAAUAAGUUGGGAAAUUAGAACUGCAGUUAUGUAACAUUUGGAUAAACUACACUAAAUUGACAAAGCUUACCCAUCUCGUUGUUGUGGAAGACCUGCAAUGCUGCAAACUGAGAAUGGCGUAAACCUCGACAUCUGCAGCCCCUUUUGCUUAACCUCUUCAACCUCAGAAUCUUCAUAAAAGUGCAUCUCGUACAGCACUAGUACUAGCAUAUCGCUAAUAGGGUGCAGCAGUGUAACCAGCCUCGAAGAUUUGGUAUACGCAACAUAGGAGUCAUACACAGUUGUAGUAUGUCUGACGAAAUCAAUUUCGAUUGCAACCCAGUGGGACCCUCGAAGAUUAUAUGGAAAAUAGACCUUCCGGACUUUUGUCCAAGCUUGGCCAUACCCGUGCUGCCACGUACCGCGCACAUAGUGAUGUAUAUUCUUGAGCUUGUUAGGUGGAAGGUCAACAGUGUUUGAAGCAGCUGCCUUCUUCGCUCCACGUUUCUUCGCAAUCGGUUUCAACGGCUCUAGAAAUUGCUGCAUAAAUUAAAAUGGAGGCAUAUUAGAAAAUCACAACCAAAAGCAAAUGAACCAGUGAAUGUAACAUGGUAACAUGUUUACUUGCAAGCAAUAAUCUGCCGUUGUCCAGUCAGUUCCAAAUACCAACGGAUGCGAGAGUUGCCUUUUCCGGAUAAGAAAGGUUGCCAUGUCCAGGUGCUGAAAGUUGACAUAUAUACUAUGAGCACAAUUUCAUACAACUCUACAAUUAAAAAAGGUGGGAAAACAAUUGAAUUAUUGUAAUAAAGUAGAGCUUCGUGUAUUCUUACCCUUGAGCUAACCCAUUUCGUGUCAUCGAUAAGUUUGUAGAAAAAAUCUGCGCCCACUGAAAAUGAUUCCAGCUGCACCUCCGCACUACAAAAGGCAAACUUGCAACGAUUACUUUUGUACUCAUCUCAUAAUUCCGACAAAAAUACAUAAGUAUAUUAAAGCAAACUCUACAUUUUGUCAUUAGUCUAUGACUACAUACUAGAAUAGGAUGAAGAUUGGAUUUCAAAGGUAAAGAAUCCUAACCUGAUAUCGUUUUUUCAGGCAGUGCAAAACUCUAUUACUGCCUUCACAUCUUCAAUGGGCACGGAUUUUGUUGGAUCAAAACAUGGCGGGGUUGCAAUCGCGGCCAACACACUCAUCGUCUUCUUCUUUCUCAAAGGAUCAGUAAAUGGGCUCAACAAUGUCUGCGCCGGGCGCUUCUGUCUGCACCCUUUACCUUCCACUUCCUUUUUUUCAACACUCGAACUCCCUUCUUCAUCACCAGCCAUACUAACUGUGGGUAGACUUGGAGGAUUCAUUGGACCUCCCGAUGGCAUACUCUGAGUCUUUUUCCAAUCUUGCAACAAAAACAACACUCUUUGGCAGAUUUCGUCACACCCGGCCACAUCUUCCGGGGUAGGCAGCUUCUCGGAUUGUGCCUGCUCAGCUGCUUCAUGCACUUCUAAGUCAGCAACUGAAGCAGUCAUUGCUGCCUCUUCGACUACCAUGGCUGCGGAAGGUUCGGCUCCAUUAGCGGGGACUUGUGUUUCCAUUACUGCCGGUUCUGUAGGCGGACUAACAUACUCAUGUGGAGGCGAGAAGUCAUCGGCUUCUCCUUCAUUCAUAUGAGGACUACCGAGGUCCUCAUGUCCUUCCCCACCUUCAUUCACCCCACGAUUUCGUAUUUUCAGUUGCUCUAUCUCCACCUUAAAAGAAUGCUCCAUUGAAGCCAGGGUGUUGCGGAAAUCCUCCACACACUUUUUAUUUUUUUCGAACUCUCUUUCAACUUUCAAUGACUCCUUCCGUACCAUGUCUUCCAACUGAUGCACUCUGUUGCGAAGCGAUCGAUUUGAUAUGGCAACUUUGGCCAAUUCAUCCUUUGUCCUUUGAAAGUCACGCUUCAAAGUACGUAACUCAGUGGACGCGACUGUACCCUGCAUUCAAUUAUAACGCAAGUGUUACAAUAUUUCCAAAUUAUAUUGCAACAAUACAGCAGCUUUUUUCCUAUUGUAUUAUAACGUAUAUCUUGGAAACAAAAUUAAUGCUUGCCUUAGAAGACGACGGAAGGCUAGCAGUUUCGUCAAUGUCCUCAUCUUUUUCUUCUACAGAGGCUGAAGUGCCGGUUUUUUGUUCAGCGUCAUCGCCCAACAAGUCAACAAGUUCUUCAGUGUCGUCAGCACUGUCACCCCAAGUCCAAUACGGCUGCUGCUUGUCCAUUACAGAUGGCCGGCGAAGCUGCACAUCAACCUGCAAUUUACACAUACAAUAUACAUAUUAGUAAACUAAUUAUAUUAUAUUUUCAUAUCCCUAACAUUAUCAUUAAAAACUGAACUAACCUUACGGUUCUCGAAUACUUGGCUCAUUAGCUCAUAAAAACGCGGCGAACUAUUGCUCCUCUAAUGUAGUAAACGAGGGAUGUACGCAUUAUCUUCGUGCACCACCAAAUGUAGUGCAACCAACGCUGGAAAUACCUCAUACUCCCAAAUCUGAUUUGAGGAAUAAAAGGUCAGUCGUUGUAAACAAAUGCAAUUUAACUUCAACAUCAAUGGACAUUUGCUCACCUGAAGUGCAUAGGCAAAACCUUUGAGGUGGUACUCUCUUGGUCUACCAGUUGCCGUUGUUGUUGGUUUCUUCCCAGAUUUUUUUUUUUGCAGUUUUUGUGGGCACUUUCACUCGCCGGUAAUCUGCACAAAGUGCCCUCAACAGUGACGCAUUUGUCUUCGCAUAACACACAACACCCCAUGGAUACUUCCCAAAGUCUUCAAGGUCUUCCGCCAACUUCAAAUAUCGCAUGUCAAUGUGGACAUGUUUUUCACUGCCCAACAGCACAAACACAGCAAAGUAUACGAAUCCGAGCUUCAAUACAUCGUCCACAUCAUCGCAUUUGAGGAAGGCCUUUUCUAAUUCCAACAAGUUCACAGUUUUAUCAUUGGCAAAGUACUUCCGUUUCAAUGAGCAUUUCUCAUUAGUGGGAAUCGGAAUAAAGGGAAGGUUUCCAAACCUUAGCCCUGUCACGAUGCAAAAUUGCUGCGCCGUGAAUUGGAUGACCUUAUUGCCAACAAUGAAUUUGAUCCCGUUCAGUGGGGAAACUGUCUUGGGAUCAGCUUUCCUGAGCAGCAAGCCGUGGACAAUUGGAGAAGUCCACUUGAGGUCCUCAAUCCGUAGGAGAUGACCAAAACAACUCUGUUCAAACAUUUGCAGCUGCUGUUCAGUGAAUUUCUCCUUUAUCGUAGUGAUUGCGGUCUUCGUAUGGGAUAGCGACAAUGCUUUCCCUUGGAACUUUUGUUCCUCUGCAAUCAUCAACUUCAUUUGACCAACCAUAUUUCCCUGCAUGCCAAUAUUAUAAACAAACUUUCAGUCGGUUGCAAUCUAGACAAUAGCAAGCAAUAAACAAUCACCACUUAUCAACAGCCUAUUAUAGGAUAUGAAGUGAAAAAACAAAAACAAAAAGUACAUAUCAUAAACAAAACCCCAGCUAUUUACAACUGACCUCCUAAUUUAAUGGCUCAAAGCCAAGUUUCAAGACACCCAGUACUCUACCACUCCUGCAUAAUAUAAUAUCUAAACACACAUCUCAACACACCAUAUAAUCACACCAUCUAAUCAUGAGACAGCUUCAGCUAGAAUGGGAAUGUGCGGUAGCACAAGCCUAAUUGAGAACAAUUCAACACUAACGAUACAAAUCUAUCUGACUAGAAAGAGUUUUAAAAAACAACAAGACAUCGGGAAACAAUUGAUUCACUUCAACGUAUAAUGUAAUGGAACAUCCUAUGAAUUAGUGGCAACCACAAUACUGACUCUACUAUGGCCCUCCUUUAAAUGUAAGAAAAUGAAAGAAAUUGGCACCAUCCCUUCAGUUUUUUCUUAACAAAAUAUCAAAGAUAAAUUCAUAAAUAAACCAUCAAAACUGUAUAAAAUGUUUGUAAGACAUGUACAAUUACAAAAUUAUAAGUUCUCCUCAGAAACAGAGUUCUCUAAGUAUCCAUACACAAACAAGAAAAGCAAAAGCUUAAACAGUUAGCUUAUAGCAAAAUCAAUGUCCCCAUUUCUCUAAACCACACCUGCUGGUGGUAGGUUCCCAUCUUCACUCAUUUCCCGCUUUCUUUUAAGCACACAAUGAUCAAGCACAAAACAGCAAACUUUUAAAGAACUCAUAUUACACCACAUAUGGUUCUAAAGAAAACUCAUCCAUAUCCAAUAUGCAAGCCCUAAACUUAGUAAAUAGAGUUAUAAAAAAAUAUGUCGAAUUAACAAGCAUUAUUCUCAAACAAAAAGUAUGAUAUCGUUGGGAGUUUACAAGUUCAGAAUGAUAUACACAGGUUAAUUGUCUUACACUUUAGAUAUCAUCUUCAACAAACAAAAUAGAUACCAAUUAGACUUGUAAGAAGGUUAAAUGCAAUGGUCAUAAAGACUCAUACUAAGCCACCAAAUACUAAUCAAUAACUGCUACAAAAACCAUAAUAAAACUAAAAAUACAACAGCACUAAAAUGCCAACACAACAUCACUACAUUAGCAAUACACUAGCAAAAAAACACAAUACGACAGCAAUAGCAACAGCAACACAACAGUAGUGCAAGCAUCAGUCCACAAAGAACAAACCCAUUCACUGUUUGAAACAAGGAAUCAUCAUACUAAGAUCAUUUCAGAGAAACCCCAAAACCAAUUUUGAUGAAAUCCCUAAACCAAUUUCAGAGAAACCCCUAAACCUUCAACCAAUUUCGAACAAACCCCUAAACUAAUUUCAGAGAAACCCCUAAACCUUCAACCAAUUUCGAACAAACCCCUCAACCAAUUUCAGAGAAAUGCAUAAACCCUAAACCAACUUCAGAGAAACCCUUAAACUGUAAGAAAAUGUCGAUGAACAGUACCUGUCGCUGGGAGAGGAAGAGAGAAGAGAGAGUCGGAGCUGAGCGACGAGAGAUUCAGAGCUGAGCAACCAGAGAUUCAGAGCUGAGCGACCAGAGAUUCAGAGCUGAGCGACCAGAGAUGAGAGAGUCAGAGCAAAGCCACGGGACAGUGAAGAGAAACAGAGCGGAGCCAAGAGAGAGAGCCGAGAGAGAACUUCAGCAAAACAGAGAGAAUAAAAUUUCAGCAAAAGUGAUAUGUGUGCAAUAAGGGGACAAUAAAUAUAUAUUUAUAGGUUAUAGUUCCAAAUUUUUUAAAAAAGGGUGGUAUUUUCAGUUACAAUUAUAAAAAUGGUGGCAUUUAGGGCUAUUUUCCUAAAAAUAAGUGGGCACAAAUGUAGUUUUGUGUUAUACGGGUGUCACAUUUGUCAGAUAAAGACACAAUUAUUUGUGUCUACACAAAUAAAUAAUUUUACUUUUUCUGAACAACUUGUCAAAUGAUACUUAUUAUUUACAUUUAAUUGACAUUUGACACAAUUUUUUGUGUCCAAUAUAAAUUUGUGCUUUAUGUAAAUUAAUUUGACAUAAUUAUUUGUGUUUUAUGCGAGAAGACGACGAAUAAAAUUUAUUUGUGCUCAAUUUUAAAGAUUAGGGCACCAUACAUGUUCGUGAUUUUUGCUCAAUUUUGUCUAGUGCUAACUUGAAGUUGGGAAUUGUUUGCAUAGCUAUUGUUUUCCCAACUCCUCCUUUCAUGUGUAGGACUUGCUCUACCUCCCUUUUUUGUGUUCUCAAAUAAUACUUCUCUCCCUCUUGGUACCAAUUCUUCUAGAAGACUCCCGCAUAUUUGUAGCAAAAUGCUUACUUAGUUUACCUUUAUACGCCGAAAAUUUAAUAAGUUCGGUAGUUAUCUAACACGAUAUCAACUUCUUGAAACGUUUGCAGGUUUAUGAUCUCAGACAGUGCACAAAUUUAAAACAACCUAAUUAAGAUUUGAGAGGUGUCCUUGGUUAGUCAAAUAGUGCAGCUUAAUACGUAAGGCUCCAUACAUCACAAACUAAGAUUCCUACGGAACUAACACAUAUUUGGCAUCAUUUGACAAAAAGGACAAAAAAAAAAAAAAACAAUGUGCACUGAUUAAGUAGAUGGCAUAAAAUAAGAUUACUUGUUUAACUAUGAAUUCUCUUGAAUUAAAAAAAUUGAUGGAAGUGCAGGUUAGGUUAGGUCAAUUGCGCAAGAUAUUGGGCCACCCUUUAUACCUAAGUUCGAAGCUUCUAGCAAUUAUAAGUCUCGAAAUUAUGGCUUGAUUAGUCAAUUAUACCAAAAUAGAAGACCUCGAGCUUCUACAUAUAGAGUUUUCGUACAUUUAUCCAUAUUUCACUUAAUUUAAACAAUUGUAAUAAUAUAAUGGCUUAAAAUAUGACAUGUCAAAUGGUAGAGUUGAAUUUUUAUUUUUUUUUUCUCUAAAUAUUUUAUUGCUUUCAACAUUGGCUUAGCUGCCGUUAUCUCUGUCUGUCCCUCCCAUCAUGAAGUCGUAAGAGCAGCUUCAGGAGUAGUUCAAGCCAUGUAGGACUCUGGAAUAGUAUCAACGAAAUCAGCUCUCAUCCAAAGGCAUAUGUUUCCCGCAGUCAUACAUAAGACAUUCAUCUUUAGAAGUUUAGAACAAAUCUAAUUACCUUAGUUGAUAAGCAAGAAUUAUUAUGGAUGAAGAGAAGGAGAAACAGAGAGGGAGGAGAUGGAGGGUCUGAUCACUGUGGGAGAGAGGCAGGGAGAUAACGGCAGUUAGUAAUCGUCAAUACCCUUUUUUUUUUUUAAACUAAUCUUUACCCGUUGACAUGUAAUGUUUUAAGCUGUUAUAUUAUUACAAUAGCUUAGAUUAAGUGAAAUGCAAGUAAAUACACGAAUUCUAUAGUUGAGCAAGUAAAUCAUAUCAGAAUCAAAUCAGGAUUCACGUCGAUUACUACGAAAUGCCCAUAAGAUAAGCUCAUGUUAGAGAUCCUUCCAUUUAAUAUUCUUCAUCAAUCCAUCUGGAAGUACAAUAGACAGUCGUGUUUCACGACCCUCACGGGCCAUUUGAUAGCUCCACACAACAGAAAGGUCGGCAGAUGUGCCAAUUCAAACAUUGAAAUUGGUGGACACAAUUGAGAUUGAAAUGCUGUUGUGGGUUCAUAAUGAGAAAUUGAUGUUUGAAAUUGAGGUUAAAAAUGUUUGUGGUAUUGGAAAGGUGGAAUAUAUUUCUCUGUGUUGGUGGACGUUUAUCAGACUUAUCCAAAAUGUACUUGACUUCCAAUAGAAGAUUGCCACACCAUUAUUAGUGACCCAUCGCACUGUCACCUCUAGUGCUAAAAGUUUGUUCUUCGACCAAACAGAGGACCACAAAAGAAGAAAAAAAAAGUAGUUGUGUGAAAGUGAUUUUCUUCUUAUUUUUUAUUUUACUAGUAUAUGUAAUGUGUCAAUUUGGUAACAUUAUAAGAGUUGAGCAGAUCUUAACAAAGAAAAUCCUAAGUGGAGGAUCUACAUCCCCGCUUAACUUAAAAUCUCAAACUACGUAGCUUUAGACACCAAAAAAAAUAUCAGUACAGAAAACAUAUGGGAUACAUACAUGUAAUGAUCUACGAACUACACCGUAUAUUCAGCUGGAAAUUUGACAACAGAUAAAGCUCUAAAUUCCAAAGCAAUGAAAAGAAAAAGUAGAAGCAGAGGAACCAGAUAAUGUCAUUCAGAGAUGUGAUACUGGUCCUAGAUGUCAAGCAUAUCACGUGUUCCUGCACCCAUGGUUGCAGUGUAGAGUCUGAAAUACACUGAUAGGCUGUCACAAUGUUCCAAAAGCUAAGAAAUAAUGCAGAGCCUAAGUUAGCAUAUUGGGUUUUUUUAAAUUUUUUUGGCAAACGUUGGGUUUAGAUUAACAUUAGAAACACUGUCAAAUCAAUCAAUUAUCAGAGAUUAUGGUUCCAUUUUUGACAUGGCAACCAGUCUGCUCCAGAGCAGAUUCAAAGAACCCACAACCAUGGAUGCUUGAAUCUAUACAUGGUGGAGCAAAGUGGAUGAUCAUAUCUCUCAAUGUGAGCAUCCCUGUGGCCUGAUUUGAUUCAUCAACCAAGAAGCUGAAACUGCUUUUUGUGUCUGCCAUGUUUCUCAUGGCUUGCUUCAGUGUUUCAGUUUUCUUGUUGGUGACCGGUGAGUCCAUUCUUGGCGCAAAGUUGUUUUUGAGGCGCAGAAAGCCAGCUGAGAGAAGAGCCCCAAUGUCUCUUUCAGUUGUUGGAUCAGAACCUGUUUUAUGAUCAUUCUCCAUGUGAAUGAACUCCUCCACAGUUAGACUUCUGCAGUUAUAUGAUUAAAUAUCAAAUUAAACAUGUAAUAUUACAUAUCUUAAGUUAAAAUUUAUUCUUUUCUUCCUUUAACACGCCUUAGCUCCAAUGAGUUAUCCAACCCAAGGCACCAAACAAGCCCAUGAUCUUGUCAUGUUCACGCUGUUAUUAAGAUAUAACUGGCAAGGGUCUGGACAUUUAUGUGUGCCUAUAUAUAUAUAAUUUGCAGAUCAAAUGCUACACUGAAGUGGACAUGAGAAACUAACAACUCCUUUAGAUGCAUAUCUCUUUUCGUUUUAGAAGCAUAUCUCUGUUCUGUUUUCUGUUUUUCUUUGUCAACUAGAAGAAGAGGGGAGAAGAGAACGGCGAAGUUAGGAAUUGUUCAUUAAUUAGUAGCAUAUUGGAUAAACGGCUCUUGACAUUGGAUAUUUUAAGUAGCAUAUCUCAUUGCAUAUAAAACUUUUGAGAUAAAAUUCAAUAUCUGAACUCCACAACACGGUUAAGCUGGAGAGAGAGUCGGCAAUCAGUUUGAAUUUGGGGAGUUGGGGACCUCCUCUCUCCUCCUUGUCUCUCUUUUAUUUAAAAAACAAUAGCGAAAAAUAAAACGAAAAAUAUAUAUUACAAAACAAAACAUAGAAGGGAGAAUGAAAAAAUGGAUGUAACUUACUUUAUAUUGCGAGGUAGAUUCUCUAGAAGGAGGUAGAUAUCGCAUUUCCUUAUGCUACCAAUGACCCUCUUACUUUUCCUAUCUGUGACAGCAACUGCACCAUUUUGGCUUUUCCAUAGAACAUGAAGAGCUUCUGUCAUGCUUUGGUCUCCAUAUACAUGUAAAACAUGCUCUUCAUUACCAAACCUGCAUUGAAACAUCCGUAGAGAUGCAAUUCCAAACUAAAUGAGAACUUACCAUCCAAUUGUAAACUAUUCUUAUAGCUUGAUUUAUCCCCCCAAAAAAAAAAAGAUGAAGAAAAGAAAAGAAGAACAGUUUAUGGGUUGACAUACCGGAACUCUGAUAAAGGCUUGUCAGCAAUGCUAUCAAACCAGUCUAAGCCACUUGAUUGAAGCAGCAGAAGAAGUACUCCAUGCUAUCAACGCAUAAUAGAUAAUCAAGAACUUAAGCUUAGUGUGGCCUUUUGCUAAUGGCCAUAUUUGCUUCUCAAAAGUACCAUUUAUGAAGUAGAAUUUAGAGAUAAAUAUACCUGUGAAAUAAAACCAAUGAGCUUAGAACUGGUUCUCUCUAUGACAGGCACAACUUGCAGCCGAUGCUUUGAAAGUAGCAGCAGAACAUGGAAGAGUGUCUCAUCCAAGUGUACAGGGAAAUAUGAAUUCCAUAGAAACGACUUAGCCAGCUCGCCAAUCUAUCAGAAUUAAACAGAAGUGCUCAUAACGAAAUAAAAAUUUAACAAUCUGCAUUAAAGUAAUACUUCAAGCUUCUAAAAUACAACAAGGGGAUUGAAUUAUAAGUUGGAACUUAUAACAUGGUUGGCAUUUUAAUAACAUAGCCAAGGAAAUUGCAACACAAAUAUCUCUGCAUGUCAUCAACAAAUAUCUCUGCAUGUGUGUCAAAAUGCUUGGCAGGUUAUACUUUAGAGAUUCGAAAACCAUGGCAUCAACAUUGCUAAACAUAAAACUUUUCAGUUGAAAGAAGAAAAAAAAAGGCUAAUAUAAUGAAGUGAAGAUGUUAAGUGUUAUGGACUUGUAUUUCUCUAAAUGGACUUUUUGGCAUACAUUGAAUUGUUCUAUCUUCUAUGUCUACUUACCAUAUUAAAUAAAAUAAAAAAUAACUAAAAGGGCAAAAAAUAUAAAAUAAAAACCUUGGUUUGGCCAAUGUGAGGAUGCUGUUCAAGCAUGUCAAAAACACCAUAGUUGCCAAUUUCUUCAGCUCUAGUUUUUCUUCUGCGAUUCCCACAUUCCUCGAAAAUUUUCAUGAGAAGCAUUUGUUAUAUAUGUAAUUGUGUAAAUAACACUACACAAAUGUUCAUCUGGGGUAGCUUUUAAAACGUUAAAAUCUACAAAAAUGAACAUCCUUACCUCAAAAAACCAAAGAACAAUACUUGCAAAAUCAAUGAAACCGAUAUAAGGAUCCGAAAAGCUUCCUUUGGUAUUGUCAGUAAUUGGUGCACCACACACAUUCUUCUCGUGCAUCAAAUGAAUGGCAUCUCUUACACUAUCCCCAGUUUUCAAUUCCAAAACUUUCCAUUGCAUCCAUUUUAUGACAGAAAAAAUUAAAAAACAUUAUUUUCAUAAUGGGAUUUUAAGGUAACCAAAUUCAAAAAACAAACCAAAAACAAAGAUAAUGGAACAUUGGAAAUUAUAUGAUGCUUACCGGGUGAGUUUUUUAUGCCAGGGAUAGAACUGAUGAGGAUGUUAUCAAGAAAGAGUUGGAGGGCAGAGCCUGAAUCAAUUUCUUGGUUGUUUUCUUGAGUUUUAAGGUUGGAAACAAGGCUCUCUUUCUUCUGUGCCACUCCACCUUCUGAGUUUUUCAUUACAUCCUUUAUUUGCUGCAUCUUCUUUCUUUUGUCCGAGUUAGAAGUUAAUGAUUGGAUGUUAAACUGUUUUUGAGGUCUUUCUGUCUUCCUUGUAUUUGCGUGAUCUGUUUUUGAGUUCCCCCUGCCCCAAAGACAGAUGUCAAGAAUGCAAACCUUCCAAAUGUUAGUUUGUAUUGCCAUGUGGCGUUCUAAAGACUCAGUUUUGUGGUACGAUUUUCUCCCUUCAAUUUUCAUAUUUUCUAUUUAUUUUUCUCUUUUUUUAUACAAGCGAUAUUUAGGGAGCGGGAAUCGAACCUAAAACCUCGGACGCAGGGAUAAAUGCUCUUAACCACUUGAGCUACAAACCCUUGUUUUUUUUUUUUUUUUUUUUUCUGUUGUGUGGCUGGUAACUUCCUUUUUUCAUAUAUACCUGUACACAUUGUUAAACAGAAGGGUCUUUUCUUUCCUGAUCCGAAAUAAGCCAAUAAAUUAUAGAUUGGGAGAUUUAUUUAAGAGUAAUGCUACAUAUGCUAAAAGAAACUCCAAGAUUUGUGUCCAAUUAAUAUGAUAGAAUUCAUUUCCACACUACCAAGGUAGUGUAAUGUGGCCUGCCAGAUCAUUUGGCAACCAAAAUUUCAAAAAAUUUUCCUAACAAUACAUGAAUAAAAGGAGUGUUAAAACUUGAAUUAUCAUAUUGCAAUAUGAAAAUGAGGGAUGGGAUAUUAAAAGGAUGACAGCUUUAUAAUAGAAAAGGGUUUCAACUGUACCUUUGGAACUUGGAAUUAUUACUACAAAAGGCAUAGCCUACUGAUAACUAUAUAAUAUGAAAAAACACUGCUAGAAUUUGGAAUUCUCUGAUUCCUGUUCUCUGUUCUUCUCCAUUGCUAUAGGCUGCUGGUGGCUUCUCUUUGAACCAACAUUAUCAGAGACGAACACGUCCACAAGUUAAAUAAAAUGCUUUUUCUUUUUCUGAGAUACAACUAUGUUUCAAACAUUAUUCAUAAUCAAUAUUGAUACAGAAAGUUCAUAGGUUCUUAUGGAUAUAUCACCUCCACGAAGGAUGAAAGCAGCCGGCGGCGGGUCAGCUGCUGUAGCUUAUUUUUGUACAUCUCGUGACUCUAGAACUCUUAUAAGCUUAUAAACUCCAUUUUUACAAGUACUGAAGGAUUUUUCUAGUUUAAAAGGCAAAAUGCUGCAGAAGCUAUACUCCUCAGCUGCCAAAUGCACUUGAGAUGUUAAGAUCCAAACGUUUGCAAGUCUCUUUCCCACCACCAUUUUUCAACUGUGCUUGAAAAGUACUUGAGAUGUUGAGAUCCAUCAUAUAACCAUGCCAUCUUGUAUUGUUGCCUUCUCCAGAAUAAUUGUGAUUCCCUCACGAAUGUAAAAUCCCUCUUCUGGCCUAUCUGCUUCUCGAACCCCCUACAGAACCAGAGAAUAUAGACGACCAUAAGAUUGAAUAUGAUGGUAUAUAUUUCACUCAAUAAAAAGUUGGCCCAGUCAAGUUCGGUUAAAAGGUAAAACGAAAAUAUCAAUGUAUCCUAAAAAAAAUGAGACUAGACCAUGGGAAGCCAUGCUUACAUCUUUGUUCACGAUCACUGCGUCCUUCCCUAUCUUUGCAUUCUUAUCAAUUAUACAAUUCCUUCAAGGAAGAAUCAUAAAGACAUAAUUAGAAACCUCGGCGUUCUACAUUCCAUGUAAAGCUAAGAAAUGUUUCUCAAUUUGUGAGUCUAAUUACCUAAUCUUUGUAUUCCUUCCAAUACCAACUGGGACCUUCCCCUCCGCAAGCAGAGAUGCAAUUUCAGUUUCAGUUUGGUAAUAGUCUGCACCCAUCAUUAUAGCAUCCUGUAGCAAGAGGUAGCAACUUAAUAAACAUAUUCAUAAGAGUGAAAGUAAACAAACCGGUCCAGUUUUCAACUUCCGUCUUUGAAAACCAUGAAAAUUCACCUUCAGCUCAACCCCAUAAUCCAAUCGUGAACGUUCACCUACAAUUGAAUGCUGGACACUACAUUCUCGCAAGAAACAUCCAUGUGAUAUUAUUGCAUCCACAAUCUGCAAUACAAAAAUAAUGCAUGAGAAGCAGAUCGCCUCAAUGAAGUUUCCAAUAUGAGCCUAAGUACAUUAGCAUACCCGGCACUUGUCAAUCUUGGUUGGUGGUAAGAAUCGAGGAGAGGUGAAGAUAGGUGUCUUUGGGUCAUAGAACUGCAAAAAGAGAAGGUAAUUUGCCCGGACAUUAAUCACACAUCGGGGAAAGAAAAUGAUGUUGCUCUUUGUUUCACAGAAUUGAUAUUAAGACAUUAUUUAAGAACUCUACACAAUUAUAGGGAUUCAUCAUAUGUUCUCCGUGUUUGCAUGUUAUAGUCUAGAAUAACAGGGUGCCCCAGAAAAUUGUAUGGAAAGGCACGUUUGUUCUUUUUUCAUUUUCCUUUUUGUUUUUGUUUUUGUUUUUUUGGAGGGUGACGUGAACCUUUUGUGUAUGACAUGUCUAAAUGUUUGACGUCCUCAAGGAAAUGAACUGAAGGGAUGGAAUUAUGAAAUGUUGCCUCUAUAAAAACAAUGAAAUCUACCUCUUCAGUGAGGGCCAAGUUAGCAUCAUAGAAAGACUUUAUAGUUCCAAUGUCCUCCCAGUAUUCUCUGAACAUAUAUGCCUGUAAAAGCAAAGGCAAAUUAUAAGACAUUUUCUUCAAUAUUUGAGUAUAAACAGAUAAUCGGUAAGAAGAAAAUAUGAAGAAUCAUGAAUUGUUCAUGCAAAUGGCUCAAAUUUUAUGGUCUUUCAGUUGAGGCUUCACUCUUCUGUUUCCUUCAAACCUUUAUGGAUAGGGAAAAAUUCAUGGAUGAAGACACUUCAACUGUAAUGGUUAUCUUACUUGAACUUUGUGCUCUCUCACUGCUGCAGGAAUGAUUUCAGACCCGAAGUCGUUUGAUGUUGGAUAUCGCCACCUCAGAAGAUUUAGCAAAAUUUCUGUCUUAAAUACAUAAACACCCAUUGAUGCAACAUAUGGGGAUUUCAUGGCAUCUUGUGGGGACAAUCCCAGAAGCGUGGUAUCUGUUUGCUGCAGAAUGUCAACCAAGAAGGGUAAAACUUAUGUCUGAGAUAUAUUAUUCAUUAAUGCAGUCAUGUAAGUCUAAAUACAUGGGUAAUGUUAAGACACACGGAAUUUAAAUAAGAUGAACUUGGAAAAUAGUGUAAAAGAGUAAUGGAGAAAAGCAUCAGUCUCUAGUCGUGGAGAAAACUCAAUGCGUGGGAGAGGUGUUAGAAUAUAAAACAAUGGUUGACUCACAUCCUAAUCGCUUAAGAUUUUGCGAAUUAUGGUAAACCAACAAAUUUUAUCGACAGCCAAUGAAAGAGAAAAAACAAAAACAAAAAAAAAAACAAAACAAUAGUUACAUUCAAAGUCUUGUAAAGCCAAAAGGAGAAAAAAAAAACAGACCUGUCACCCACUGCGGCACAUGAAAUUGUAAUAUCAGCAUUUCUAUCAACGUGACUCUGCAUAUCAUAGAAAAUGUGUAAGAAAAAUUUAACAACAAACAAGUCCUAUAUGAAGGGAAAUUAUUAUACCUGCACAAAGUCCGUAUAAUCCAUUCGGUAAAGAUGAUCGCCACACAAAAUCAGUACAUUCUCAACAUCCCUGUUUUUGGCAUCCUGCAAGAAAUAAUGCAGUACAUUGUACCCGAAAUCAAGUUAUGCAAACCAAAGAACAACAUACAGACCCAUUAUUACUAUCAGUUCCCCCCUUCUUUAAUUUUAAAACAAUACCAUUGUUGCAAACUUCUUUACCCACCUCAAAUACCCAUAUAAAUUGCCUCACAGCAUCUGCUGUUCCUUGGAACCAAUUCAUUCCUGCUUCCCCAGGCGUUUGAGUGGCUGCCAGAACCUGCACUUGAAGUGUGCUUUGAGUCACAAAAUAAUCAAGGAACUUGAAAAAGAAAUAACACAUUGGACCAGAUGUAUUUUUUUUUAAUGAUUAAAUCCUUUUAAAUAUAAUACCUCUUCUUCUUUCUUAUAUAGCGAGAACUACUUCAUUUAACAUUAAUUACAACUAAAGGUUCCCUAUCAGACUAACUUUCAGUUUGAAAACUGAUUUUUGCAGCAUCUUUACAUAAUUAUCAGCCUACAACUAAUUUAAUAACAGACCAAUCACAAAAUGAUACAGGUAUUAAUCUGCAUUAAAGGAUUCAUUUACCUCUACAAAUCCUUCCCCAAAGUUGAUACCAUUUCCAAAAUAGGUGCGAGCAAUGUGACGAUUGAGAGAAGCAGAAUUAAACUGCGUCAGUACAAAAAUCUUGUUUAUAUUGCUGUUGAUGCAAUUGCUCAUUGGAAUGUCUAUAAGACGGUAGCAUCCUCCAACUGGGACCUGCAAUCAUACCAAAUCAAUACAUAAUACAACUUCAAUUGCGAUAUUGAAUCACAAGCUUUGAUGAAUCAUGUGCGCUUAUGGUUAUUAAUGGAGGAUCAUACAACCAAAUUUUUCUAAAACAAAUCAGCAAAAUCCAAUAUGUUUACACCAUAGUGAACCGAGCAGACCCAGCAUCAAAGCGACUAGCACCAAGGCAGCCACGCCUUCUCCCCUGCCGAAGGAAGACACACUUCUGAGGUGCCAGACACCUGCCGAAGCUCCCAACUGCCAAAUCUAAUCUCCAGGACACGUAUCGCCACCACGACGACUUGCACAAAGUCCCACAUUGGAACUUUGUGCAAACCUCCUACUCGCACCUCCCUAUAAAUAGGGAACAGUACCCAAGUAAAAAGGGUAACUAUUCUCCCACUUUUACUGUUACUCUGCCAGAAUUACUACUUGUAACUGACUUAGGCAUCGGAGAGCCUUCGGCCGACACCACACCGGUGUCCGAAGCUUAACGAUUGCUUCUCCCACUUUGUCUUCUGCAGGUCUCCCAUCAACCUAUAUUUCACCAAGGGCCUCGGCUCUCUUCCCUGCUGAAGACCCCGCAUACCUAAUCACUAAGUUGGACUCACUAUUGGCCGGGCCAUUUUGAGCAUCAACAGUUUGGCGCCGUCUGUGGGAAGUCGACACUUGAAUCCCCUCUUUCUCUAUCAGCCCAGCUGGCUCCUUCACCCAUCAGGCCCCGUCGCCUCUUCUUCACCCCACACUCUGCUAUGCCGACCGAGUAUAGCCGCGAUACCCAGCAUCAUACCCCCCGCGAUGGUACUUCUAGAAGGAAAUCUUCGGAAGAUGCCACUCUCCAGGCAGAAGUGGAGCGCCUCCGCCACAGUGUCACUAAAAUGUCGGAAAAAUACGAGCACCUUCAUUGCAGGAAUGUUGAGCUAGAACAUGACUAUCGUGCUUUAAAGUGGAACUGGGAAAGGACUCACACCCAGGAUGCCUAGCAAGACCUCACCCAGAACGUUGGGCAUACUCAGCCGAACCAGCCAGUACAUUCCAGCCACAGUGCCCCGGCCCAAACUAGGCUUCGCAAGGGUAAAGACCACCUUCAUCCAGAGCUAACCCAGUCGCGACUCCUUUGCGUUCCCCCACCGAAGGACCGGCCCCAUGAACCAGUCAGGAUCUACCAAGAUUGCAGGGAUCGCAUCUCGGACCGACAACCAGGACCGGUCCCUGUCCCUGUCAACCUCGAAGACCCACGGGCGACACACCUGGGCCCUUCGCCAGGGCCCGUCCGCAUACCAGACGAGGAACGUGUCGGGGACUCGGAUAGUUGGGAAUUCUAUAAUUCAGAGACCUGGCCAAAUUACCACACCGAGGCGCUGGAAAAUUGGGAACAAUCCCCAGUCCCUGUCUGCCCCGCCCCCAGGCCUUUAGCACCUGAAACUCUUCCUCAUGCCGACCCGGCCAUGAGGCUUCUCUUUGAAAAGGUUCGGCGUCUGGAGAGCGAACAGCAUCGCAGCCAUCAACCCCUCUGGGCAAAACCACGACCGGGGCCCUUUACUGAACAUAUCCUCCACUACCACCAGGAGAAAGAUAUCCAGCCCCUCCGCAUCGCUUUCUACACUGGCACGGAGGACCCUCUCACCCACAUCCACUCCUUCCAGUCUGCCCUUGGGUGCAAAGGCCUCACUGAUGAAGGCAUGUGCCUCCUUUUCCCUUCCACCCUCAGCGGCGCGGCCCUAAACUGGUUCUACAGACUCCACCCCCGCACCAUCAACUCAUUUGAUAGUCUCAAGCAGACGUUCCUGGAUCAUUUUAUGAUCCAAACUGAUCACCUAUACUCUGCCGACGACUUAUAUAUGCUUCGGCAGGCUGAGGAUGAACCCCUUCGGGAAUAUGCAGCUCGGUUUAGUCACGAAUACUCCCGCUGCCCGGACACUGACGACCGCGCUACCUUCGGCGCUUUUAAGAGCGGCCUCCGCGAGUCCAACUUCCACUACCUGGUUCAUAGCAACAGUUGGAACACAUAUACAGAGCUAAUGAAACAGGCAGCGAUCCAUGCUAAGGCUGAAUACUUCAAUUCCAAGCGUGGCCCAGCCAACCUGAUGCGCAACGCUUUCGCUGAUCCUCCACCUGCUUUAGCACCCGCUUCAGCCCCACCUCAGCAUCCUACCCCUACCCCAACAACAUAUAAUUAUUUUAAUAAUUAAUUUUAAUUAUAAAUAAAUAAAAUUAUAAUAUUUAGUUUUAAUUAAAGAUUACUAAAACUAUCUUAUCUCUUCUGUUCCUUUUCUUUUUCUUUUAUUUCUUCCUAUUUUCUUCUUCCUUCCCAAGUUCCUAGGCCAUCCCUGUUUUUUAUUUUUAUUUUUACCUUUCUUCCUCUCUUCUUCUUCCUUCCUUCUUAAUCAACUGUCUAGAUUGAAAACUGUAACCUUUACUGAAAGAGAGAGUGGUCAAGGGUUUUAGGUGAGAAAAAGCGCAGAGACAGAGAGAGACAGAGAGAAAGGGACAGCGAGACAGAGACAGAGGCUGAAAAUUCAAUACCAACUAUUUAUUCCAUAAGUUCAACUUGAUGUCUUCUAUGUCAUUUCCCGGAAGAAUCCUUUAAUGGGUACCAAUUAGUUUUUAGAAUUUUUUUCAAACCACUUCAAGACUAUGAAUUCAUGACUUCCUUCUCUCAGUCUCAUACAAGAAAGCCCACAUCUCAGUUAAUGGUGUCUCCUUUUGCAGUUGUCCUGAUCAUGGUGGAUGAUUUCUUGGAUCAAUCGGGUUUGAAAGUGGUUGUUGAAUUUAGGUUCAAUUGGGUUGUGGUUCCAUUGGGUUUGAAUUGGUGGUGGUUGAUUCGAGUGACUGGGUUUGAAUUUUUGGUAGUUGGUUCAGUGACUGGGUUUGACGAUGGUCUGUGGUGAUUCUGGUGGUUUGGCUGGGUCUAUGGUGGUUAUAGUUCUAGGUGAAAAAGAAGAAGCUGGUUAUUGUCAGACUCGCGUUCUCUGUUUAGCGAAAUCGCUAUUUUGCGAACCAUGUUUGAGGCUCACUAAAUUGGAAGAGCGAGUGAGGCUUUUUGUUUACUGUUGUACUAUACAAUCCCAUUUAAUUUAGUCCCCCUCCUACCAAACAUGAUUUUCAGGGGCCGUUUGGUACACCGGAUUAUUAUGGAUUGGACUAAAUCAUAGGACUGUCUUGGAUUAGCUCGGAUUAGCUUAAGCUGGUUUAAGUAUUGACCUACCUUUGGUGCUGUGUCGGACUAAGAAGCUGGAUUGUAAAAAUAGUGAAGACCUAUGUUUGGUGCUGUAUCGGAUUAAAAUAAUUAUUUAAAUAUUUAAAAUUCAUUUGGGAUUUUGACCUAAAACUAAGUAAAUGCUACAAAGAAACCAACGAAAAAUGUAUAAUUUAUUAAAUAAAAAAAUUAUAAUAUUUUUAAAAGCUAAAACUAUCUUUAUCUCAUGUCUUUCUUCUUUUUUCUUCCUUUUUCCCCCUUUUUCUUUUUCUUUUUCCUUCCCAGGCCCACUUCUUAUUUCUUUUUUCUCUCUUCCUCCCGAUCUCACUCUCUGGUUCUCUCUUUUUUUCUCCAAUAUUGAUACAAUGAUAUCCUCCUCCUUCUCUCUCCUUUUCUAUCUCCCUAUCCCAACCUUUCUCUGCAUCCUCAUCAUUUUCUCUCUCUUAUUCCCCUUUGAAGUCACCGAUUUUCAUCUCCUUUAAAGUCACAAAUCUCCAUCUGAUUUCAUUGAGCCAUGGUCGAUGGUUGAUGAUUUUUCAUAGGGUUCAAUUGGGUUUGACAGUGGUGGUUGAAUUUGGGUUGAAUUUGGUUUUGGUUCCACUGGAUUUGAAUUGGUAGUGGUUGAUUUGAGUGGGUGGUUUUGAAUUGGUGGUGGUUGAUUCAAGUGGCUGGGCUUGAAUUAGUGAUAGAUGGUUUGAGUGACUGGGUUUGACGACUGUCUGUGGUGAUUUUGGUGGUUCAGCUAGGGAUAUGGUGGUGACAAUUCUAGGUGAAGAAGAAGAAGAAGAAGUUGGUUAUUGUCGGACUCGCUUGCUCUGUUUAGCAAGCUCGCUAUUUUGCGAGCCAUGUUUCAAGCUCGUUAUAUUGAACGAAUGGGCGAGGCAAAUUUGUUACUGUUAGACUAUUUAAUCUCAUUUACGUUAGUCCUCCUCUUACCAAACAUGGGUUUUCAAGUGCUAUUUAACCUAAUUCAAUAUAGUGAUGGGUACCAAACAUGCCUCAAAGUGCUAUUUAAUACUGUCCAGGGCAGUCCAGCCUACUAAACAUGCCUGAAGUCUCAAUAAUUUCUCAUCCUAUUUAUAUAUAUGUUCCCCUUGUUAAGUGCCUCUCCUUCUUUCGUCACCAAGCCUUUUGGAACCUACGUACACACGUUUAUGCUCAUCACUUGUCAGAUUAAAUUAUCAGACACGAUUUUAGAAUUAUUAUUAUUUUACCAAUUGAAUAAAGCUAAAAAAUUAGACAAACUUGCAAGAUAUAUAUAUUUUUAAAUCCCUAGUUGAUUGAGAAAGUCUUCUCAUGGAGAUAUUUUUAUGUUCGAAUGCAGCAUCCUGCCGUGUGGUGUAACUAAUGAGUUAUAUAUAACUGGGUGUAUGAAGAGUUUAUGCCUAAUAACGACUCAAUGAUUGAUUAAAAAAAAUCCAAACCUCAGAGAUCCACAUGAGAGCAUAAGAAGAGUGAACAAAGUGGAGAGAAUUGUCGGGGAAGAGCCUGCCAUAGAAAGAGCCAGGCAUUCCUGCAAUGAAACAUGGCCCAAGCUUCUUUUCAGGUUCUUCAUCAAGUUUCUUAUAGAAGCCUGGCAAUGACCUGAACACCGUGUUGAAAUCGUUUCGGGGAAGAUCAUUCAAGAAGGCUUGGAGUGAUGGAGGUGGGCGGUUGAGCUUUUGGAAAGUGUUGCGGAUGUUGUCUAUGAUAUCUGAUACCACCAAAAGGGUGUUGGGUCCUGAAGAGCAUCCCAAGUCCGCUAUUUUCAAACACUCUGGGAAGAGAGUGCAACACAGCUCCUCUAU